This 57842-nucleotide long non-coding RNA is filed under the name Triticum aestivum (bread wheat). Its description in RNAcentral is "long non-coding RNA (TAES_LNC019634)". The stretch from base 11347 to 11470 matches the Rfam family "MIR1120/MIR1122 microRNA precursor family". Lineage: Eukaryota; Viridiplantae; Streptophyta; Magnoliopsida; Poales; Poaceae. The record is from RNAcentral.
UUAUUAUUGCCUCUAGGGCAUAUUUCCUUCAGAGAUGUUGUCCUGCAGAACAUCUUUUAAAGAACACACCUAUAUGAGUCUGAUUGUGAAACGUCGCAAUCUAUGAGAGUAGGGUUCUCUAGUAAACUCAUGAAAGGUCUCGGAGUAUGACGCAUAAGCUCCACCCGCGGGGAAGACCCACGGUAGCCACGUAUCGGUCAAGGCUUUAUGUGAAGCUAGAUUCGCAGAAAACUUGCAGUUCAAGGCCUAGUCCACUCUUCAAGUUGCUUACUAGUGUAGCAUAGAGUUCUAGGUUGAAGUUCAACUUAACAGUAUCCACUGCAGUACCGGUAUAUAAAACAGUGUUUUGGAACCAAAGGAAAAUUUUGUGUGCCUCUGGGAUCUAGUGGGGGAUUGCUGGAAUUUUGUCUAUUUUGGGCCUAGCCCAAUAGCAGUUUCAGAAAUUCCUAAUAAAUCCUAGAGGCCCACGCAACCCAUUUGUGCAAGGCAAGAGGUGGAACUAAAGUUUAGUCCCACAUUGCUAGUUUAGAGGGAGUUGGACCUCUUUAUAAGGGAGGUUCUUUCCCCACAUGUAUGAGCAUGAGAACAAGAGGGACAUCCACGCGCGCUCCUCCUCCGCCGCCCGCCUCGGCACGGCACGGCACGGCACGACGCGGGUUGCGGGAAUGAGCCGAGCCGAUGUCUAAAUUUUUCGUUUUGCUGUAGUGGAGACUGAAUACGAACGACGCACCUCUUCGCGUUCUGCCUGUUCGCUUCGUCUCCCUCCGUUGCUUCACCUCCCGCCGCAGCCAGUUCGCGUCCUUCUCCUGUGCCUAUAUAAGAGAGGUCACUCCUCUCCAGAGAGACACACCAGAAGAUCCUCUUCCUCUCUCCACAAAGUUCCUGAGCACUGCGCUGCUGCUACGAUCUUUCCCAUCCCGACUUGCGGCGUGCACCACAGGUAUAGGCCUCCGAAACCGCACCUUUUGAGUCCUGUACGGGAGAAGGGUGAUAAGGUUUUUGGGGAGCACUCUGCGCGACUACUGACUCCUUCAUCACGGACGCUCCGGACUCCGACGACUACUUCCCCGACGACGACUUCUUCCCCAAUGUCGACAACCUCCUCGACGACAUGGCUGGCGAGGAUGUCGAUCCCAAGUCCAGUACUACUGCUGAUGUCCCGUAUGUUAUCUUCUCCUUUCUGUUCGAGGUUCUGCUACAGUACCUUGUUCUGGUGUUUGCCCUAGAUAUAUUAGGUUCUACAUCAUAUAUGCAACUACCUCUACUGUCUGCUCUAGAUUUGCUAGGCUACAGUUCAUAUUUAUAUAUGCCUUUUACCUUCUCUCUGUCAGAACGCAUGACUUAUUUUAUCUCUACUAUAUUAGUCAUGCUUUCUCUAGUUUUUCUCUUAAUAAAAUCAUUUGGUAAAUUGCUCAUAUUUCCAACAAGUCCUAGGAUAGUUCCUACCAGAGAACUCGUUGAGAUGGUACCUGGUUUUCCUGAAGGGUGGAGGAAUACCCGGCCGACAUGCAUAGCCAACAUCUCCAAGGUAGAACUUGCCGUCGGGGAUGUUGAUCUCAUCAGGUCGACUCAUGCUGUCACUGAGAAUGUUAGCAUCAUGAGCUGACCCCUCCCAGCCAGCAAGCACAUAUGUGAACUUCAGAUCAAAGUCAACAGCAGCAAGCACACUCUGUCCUGUGUAGUGAUUUCUCCGUUGUCAUCAUCCUCUUCUUCUUGGUUUCCCCGUUGCAGCAUCACCGUAUUCAGGGGGCACAUAGUUGUCAUCAUCCUCUUCUUCUUCGCUGUCUUCCAUCAUAACCCCUAUUUCUCCGUGCUUGGUCCAAACAUUAUAGUGUGGCAUGAAACCCUUAUAAAGCAGGUGGGUGUGAAGGGUUUUCGAGUCCCCACAGCUAGGGCAUGGACAACACAUAAAACCAUUCCGCUUGUUUGCCUCAGUCACUACGAGAAAAUUAUGCAUGCACUCAAUGUACUCGGAGGUGCGUCUGUUACCGUACAUCCAUUGCCGGUUCAUCUGCGUGCAUUAUAUAUAAUUAAGUGUGUCAAAAACCAUUACAGAACAUUAUGAAUAGAUAAGUGACCAAAUUAAUAGAAGUUCAUCAUCACAUUAAAACCAAACUACAUACAUAGUUCUCAUUGAACAACAUAUAGCUCUCCAGAGCAUCUAAUUAAACCAUAGAUUGAAACUAUGUAAAACAUUUCAAUGCAACAACAAAUGCGAUCAUAAUCGCAACCAAGGUAACAAUUGAUCCAACGGCAUAAUGAUACCAAGCCUCGGUAUGAAUGUCAUAUUUUCUAAUCUUUCUUAUCUUCAUGUGCAUUGCAUCCAUAUUGAUCUUAUGACCAUCGACGACAUCCACAACAUGCAACUCCAAUAUCAUCUUCUCCUCCUCAAUUUUUUUUAUUUUUCCUUCAAGUAAUUGUUUUCUUCUUCAACUAAAUUUAACCUCUCGACAAUAGGGUCGGUUUGAAUUUCUGGUUCACAUACCUCCUAGAUAAAAAAAAUCUAUGUCACGUUGGUCGGCAUAAUUGUCAUAAACAAUAAAUGAACCAAAUAGUUAUAAAAUAUAAUAUAUACCACAUCCGAAUCAUAGACAGGACGAGGACCGACGGGAGCGGAUACCAAAACCAUCGCACUAUAUAAUAACAAACAAUAAUAAAAGUAAGAAAAUUAUACAAGUAUCUAUCUAAAUCAUACAAGUAAGAAUUUUUUUCUUUUAGAAAGAAGAUAAGAACAAGAGGCUCACCACGGUGGUGCCGACGACGAGAUCGGCGCGGCCGAUCGACGGCGGUGAAGACGGGGACGGGACGUGACGGACCGCUAAAUCUAGACAAAUCUUGAGGAAAAUGGAGCUUGGAGGUCGAGCUUAGAGAGGAGUAAGCUUAAGUAGUGUGGCUCAGGCAUUUCAUCGAACACCUCAUGUGCAUAGGAGGUGAGCGAGAGCACCACAAAGCCCUCCCCUCGCUGGCGAGAAAAAAGUAGAGCAGUGGACACUACUAGAAAAAGGGCUAUAGAUGGGAUUGACACUAAUGGCGCACCAGACAAGCGGUGCGCCAUUAGUAUAUACUAAUGGCGCACCACCUUCUGAUACGCCAUUAGAGUUGAAACUACUAAUGGCGCACCUGGCCCAGGGUGCGCCAUUAGUAUCAAAUUUUUUUUAACUAGUGCGCCUGUCCAAACAUACUAAUGGCGCAUCCAGACACAGUGCGCCAUUACUAGUUGUAACUAGUAAUGGCGCACCUGCCGGAAAGUGCGCCACUAAUGUUGUUUUUUCUAUUAUAUUUUUUAUUCCCUUUUUUGCAAAACUACUAAUGGCGCACUUUUCCACCGUGCGCCAUUACUAGUUUAAACUAGUAAUGGCACACUGUGGAACAGUGCGCCAUUAGUAUGUUUUUUUUGUGCAAAACUACUAAUGGCGCACUUUUCCCUGAUGCGCCAUUGCUAUUUUUGAUACUAAUGGCGCAUUGCUUAGGAGGUGCGCCAUUGUGGUUUUGUAGGUAAGUGCCGCAGCCCGACCGUCCACCAUAUCUCUCCUCUCUCUCUCGCACGGAACCCUAUCCUCUUCUCCCUCACCCCGCACACACACACACACACGUCUCUCGGCCUCGCCCCAGCCCCGAUCCAUGCGCCAUUGUGGUUUUGUAGGCAAGUGCUCCCUCCUCUUCCUGCGCGGCGGCCCUUGCCCUCCUCUCUCUUCGGUCCCCUUCGCGCCUCCUCGCGGCAGUCGCAGCCAAGGAGCCCGAGCUCGGCGGCGACGGAUCGGAAGGCAGCGGCGGCGCUGGAUCUGGCAGUGGUGGAGCCGCCGCCGUCUCCACUCGCCGGGAACCGGCUAGAUCCGCCCCACGAGCUUCACAGGUGCCACCCCCUCCGCCACCAGCCACGGUGGCCUCCCCCGCCCCGUAUCGGCGCGGAUCCAGCCGCCAUCUCCCGCAGCAACGGCGGCCUCGCCCUGCUCCGCCCCCGCUCCUCCUCCUCCUCCUCCUCCGCCCCCUCGCCUCGCUCCCCAUCCCGGCCGCCGCGAGAGGCGGCCUCGACCCGUCUCCCUCAGGUUCUCUCCUGUGAAUUUCCUGUGAAUUUGUUUCGAUUUCAUGGGAAUUUCUGUGACAAUUAACUUGAAUCGUGGAUUUUGUUGUGGUGUGGGCGCAGGACCCGAGCAUCAAGGAGAUGGCGGAGCAGAUCGCCAAGGACCCGUCCUUCAGCGAGAUGCCCCGUAAAUCUACUGUAUGAUCAAUCAAAACACGUUUUGUCCAAAGUCCAAACUUAAUGGUAAACAAGAGGCUAAUCUUGCUAUUUUUGUUUGUUAUGCGGUUUGCACUUUCUGUUUCCUUGAACAGUUUAUAGUUCAUCUAAUUUACAUUUUUAUGUUAACUUUAGCAAUUAAUUUACCUCAAACAAGGUAAUUAAUAUGAUAAUUAUCCCCUGUGUAUACCGCAAGUAAGUAACUUACUGUAAUUAUGUUAAGAAAUUAGAAUGUUUGUGACCGACUGUUUAAUAAGAUGCUCUUUUCACAAGGUGUGAUAUUGUGGCAUAUUUACCCUGGAGCUAGCAUAUAUAUGGAGCUGACUUUGUUCCUGGAGGUGAGCAUAUAUUGUUGAUCUUCUCAUGUCAAUUGCAGCAGUUCCUUGAUUCACAAUUUAUAUAGUGUGGUAUAGUGGUUAUAUUUGGAGGUUUAUCCCUGUGAAAUAAUCACCGCAAGGUGAGUACUUUCCGCAGCUAAUGUGUUAUGCAUAAGCUCAGUGUGUUUGCUCAAUUAGCUACUGCUCAAUUAAAAUUGGUGACCUUCCAUUGAUGAUAGGUUUAGAAAUUAUGCAUUGAGUAACUGGACCUGACCUGGAGUACUUGGUUAAUUCAGUGAUCUUUUAACAAAAUUUUAACUGAAUUAUUUUGGGCAAUGGAGUACUGAAUUUUAACUGAGUAACUUGCACUUGCAUAUGCACUAGACCACUUGUAAAUUCUUUGGCUCCUCUUUAAUCUGGUGCAAUUACUUAACUAACCGUAAUAGCCCUGACACUUGUAAGUAACCAUAUCAUUCAAACAUCCAAUUAAAUCUAUUCUACUCCAUUUCCUGAGAUGAAAUUGUGAUGAUGGGAGUGACAUUAAACAGCUUGAACAUCUAAUUGUGCAUGUACUCCAUUGUUAUAUACUGAUCCAUCUUGUCUUUGCCCCAUGUUAACAUUCAAAUUGUUAAUUGCAUUCAAAGUGUUAAUUGCAGGAGCAGACACAGAGGAGGAAUCUGCUACCUCAAAGCAGUUGAUCGACGCCGGGAGGGUGGGUACGUGAUGUCGGAGGCUGCCGGGAGGGUGGUGACGAGCUACCGAAGAGAUGAGUUCUGACUCUCCUCGAUGCCAGGACGAGGCGCUGUUGCCGAUCGGACGUGGACUCGAUUGAUUUUGAUUUGAAAUAUGACGGGUUGUAAUGUAAAAUGCACUUCAGUUCAAAAUUUCCUCCCCUUGCGAGAUGUAUUCUUGGACGGAGGGAGUAGAAGAUUAGUUAUAGGAUUUUGUUUUAUUUCUGUGCAAUUUUAUUUUUAUUGGAUACUUAUAAAGACAUGGUAGUAUUCUUGCUAUAAUAAAAAUGAUGGUUCUAUUUCAUUUUUUGUUUUUAAAUUAUUUUUCCUUAUAGGUUGUUUUUUGUAAAUUUGUAUUUUUUUUGUUUUCCAAAUAUACUAUUAGUGGCGCAUUUCAGCCUUUAUUGGUGGCGCACCUAGCUUUUUAGCUAGUGGCGCACCUCUAAGGUUACUAGUGGCGCACUUGGCUUUAUUACUAGUGGGGCACCUAAGGGUUAGUAAUGGCGCACUAUUAGGUGUGCCAUUACUGUCUGGGAUAGUAAUGGCGCGUCAAAUGUGCACCAUUACUAAAACUUACUAAUGGCGUGCUAGUAAUGGCGCACCUAAUGUGCGCCAUUAGUAGCUAAAAUAGGUGCGCCAUUAAUAACCUGUUUUCUAGUAGUGGGAGUGCUCUGCUCGCGGGCGAGGGUGUAUAUAUAGGCACCUCAUUGGUCCCGGUUCGUGGCUGGAACCGGGACUAAGGCCCCCCUUUGGUCCCGGUUCCAGCCACGAAUCGGGACCAAUGGUUGUGGGCCAGGAGCGAGGCCCAUUAGUCCCGGUUCGCGUCUGGAACCGGGACCAAAGGGGACAAAUGAACCGGGACCAAUUCCCCACGAGGCCCGGCAGGCCCCCUGGGCUCACGAACCGGGACCUAUGCCCCCAUGGGUCCUGGUUCGUGACUGAACCGGGACUAAUGGGCUGGCCAAGCCUAGACCAAAGCCCUGUUUUCUACUAGUGUCCCCCGGUAUGCUGCAUACUGUGACCUAGGAACUCUGACAGUGACAUGAGUACCAUCUAUUGCCCCAAUGCAAUCCUGAAAGUGGCAUCACAAGCCUGUGUUAGUGCUCAACUUGAACAAUACAAGCAUAUCAAGCCAUGAAAAGUGUAUAUUGUCAAUGCUCACCUUGAAGUAUGGAUACCAUCUUGGGCUUCCGCGAAUCUUGGGUGGAGUCUGGCCAGAUGGUCUCCGGAUCAUCUCUCCUCUAAGCUCUCCAAUAGCAAAAAGCACCUGCUUGAAGUACCUCGAGAUGGUCUCCAUUGAUCUCAUGAACGUGUUGUGAAUGACCCUGAACCUCUGGUUAUGGCCAACAACAUGGAGUAACAUGGUCACUUGCUCUUCCACACUGGUGCUGAUGUUAUCUUGUAGCAGCCCCCUGCUCCUGAAGGUCUCGACAAGCCUGGAAAAUGGUGCUCUUUUCAUUCGAAGCAUCCACAGAGCCUCGACGUCAUUGAAGUUGUAGAUGUAGUUCAGAUUUUGGAUCCUCUCCUGUUCCCGAACAAACAAUGGACCAUAGCGGAUCAAAGGUCUCCCAGCACGACGAACAACUCUUUGGUGCAUGAACAUGACCCAUGCCUGAAUCACACUAAUCAGUGUUGCUGCCUGAAUUAUCAGCCUCAUCCGUGCGUCCAUAGCCUAGUCGACAUCGACGGUUCGUUCAGUGGGAAAUCGAUCCUACACCUAGCCUAACGGCCUAAGCACCGAUCUAACAAAGGAGGGAGGGGUGCUGCUUACCGGCAUCGGAGACGAGGACAAUGUAGGGGGAGCCAUGGCACGGACAAGGUCGACCAGACGGUGGCCAACAGCAAGGGGAGCACCAGAUCCGCCGCAAACGCCGCCGCCUCUUCCGCCGCCGCCACAGCCUCUAGCGCAGAUCUGAAAUCGUAGCCACCGCCGGUGGUGAGGUAGUAGGGAAGAAAGGGGGGGUAGUGGCUAUGGGUGAGCAAGUGAAAGGGGGAUGAGGCUAGAUUUGGCGCCGGGACGACGCGCCAGAUUUCCAUCUCCCGCCAUCUCCCCUCGCCCUCGCGUCACACCCGCCCAUGCGACCUCGCGCCGCACUCAGCCUGGCUCGCGAGAAACUGCCGAUCCGAGCGUUUCCACCGAGUCAGGCUCUGGGCUGCUUUGAGAAGCGUGCGAUGCAGGCCCAACAGUGAAUCCAGACAACCAAACAGGCCUCUUCCUUCCCGCGCGGGCCUGGUUGGGCCUCAUGCGGGCAACCAAACACGCCCCAAGUCUCGAUAGAGGAUUUUCUAGCGGAGCCGGUUUCUACCAGUGUCCUACUAGCUAAUUAAAGUGUGCCAUGUGUUCAUGUACACAUACCAGAUACGAAGUAUUUCAUUCAUUUCCUUUAUCAUAGAGAAACACUUGCAAUAUACAGUCUGAUCAAAAGCAAUGCGUUAUUGAUCAGAAACACUUGCUUGCAUAUUGUCCCUGUAGAGAAUCAUUGUGUGCAUAAUUGUAAUUGCAAUGAUGUUAUUUGUGUUCACUGAAUGAUAUACAUGGGUGUAUUAGGUUUGAGCCAGUUCAUAUGGUGGACCUGGGUUUUGGUCAUUUUAACUUGUCAGGUAUCUGGUUCAUCCUGUGUAUUGUUCAACAUAAGGUGUGUGCAAUAUUGCUGGUUUACUUGCAAGAUUCUUACCGUGUUGUUCACUUAGAGCAUCUCUAGCAGACCCCGCAUCCCGCCCCAACCCGCAAAAUAACCGCCAAAAUGCGGGUCGGGGCGGGUAAACCUGCCCGAUCAGACACCGCAUUCGCGGCCGACCCAAAUUUUUUUUGCAGGGCAUGGCAAAACAUCUCCCCCGACCUCUAGAUUCACGGGCUAGGAGGACGACCUGAGCUUAGCCCCUAUCCGCAGCGAGAUUUGGCGGGAGGGACAUUUCUGCGCGGCCGUUCUCGCUCCCCCACCCUACGCCACCAUUGCCCCGCCACUGCACGCUCCGGUGCAUCUUCCCCGGCCGUCCUUCGCCGCCAUGGAUGACUCCCUGCUGUCCCCCGUCACCGUCGAGGUCGCGCACGCUCAAUCCCCUCGGGCGGAUCUCGUCGUAGGCCAUGUUGGCCCCACCGUGGCCCAAGGUACCGCCGCGCAUGCCCGCAAGCGGCAGGGCAACAUGGCCGUGCAGGACGGGAAUCCGGUUGCCCCCGUCGCGAAGGCCCGCGCUCCGGGCGCCAACGCCACUGUGCGAUCCCGGCCGUCGGCGGAGAAGGUCGCCAAGGCCGCCGACGUCAAGAGGAAGAGGAUUCCGGCUACAAAGAAGUUGCCUCCUUCAUCCACUCCCUCCGCCCCGGAAAGAGGUGCCCUGGCGAUGCCGCUAAACGGUGCUGCCCCCCCCCCCUCGCAAGCGAGGUGUUUAACGAAAUGGCCGGAAGGUAUGCGUCUUCGGUCAUGGCAAAAUUGCCCAACAUAGAUACAAAGACAUGGAAGCUUCGGAAGGCAAAUUCUUCAGACUAGAGCAUUGUUGGGACUUGCUCAAAAAGUGCGAGAAGUGGAAGUUGAUCGACAAAGAAUCCCCACCAAAGAGAGGUUCAUUUACAAACAUGGAUGAAGAUGAGGAUGAUGAUGGCCCAAGAAAAUUGAACAAGCCCGAUGGCGACAAGAAGACUAAGGAGAAGAUGAAGAGAGAGCACGAAGCAUCAAGCUUGAGGGAGAAGAUUGAUGCCAUGGUGCAAUCAAAUGAGUUGAUGUUGUUGAAGUCGUUGGAGAUCAAGAAAGAGUUGGCCGAGAAGAAGGCAAAGGAGAAGCAAGAAAAGUGGCAAUUGCUCAAGGAAGAGGGGCUGCACAAAGCGGCCAUUGAGGAGAGAAGAGCACGUGCUGCUGAAAACAAAGCCAUGUCCAAGUUGCUCGCCGAAGAGAACAAGAUCAUGACAAUGAACCACAAUGAUAUGGACGACCUCACCAAAGAAUGGCAUGAUAUGGCAAGGAGAGAAAUCUUGAAGAGGAGAAUGGUUGCGUCGGCCAGUGCGUGUUACAGUGCCGGAGAUGUUUUCUCUGCUCCAUAUGGUGGCAAUGUCGAUGAUUUCGGUGCGGGAGUUGGAACAAGCGCCGGAGGUGGAUUCGGUGGUGGCGAUGAACUUCAAGAUGGACUCGAUGACGCAGAGUGAAGAUCGACCAAGAUGAUGCCGGACUUGGUCGCCACUUUUGCAAGACCCUCUUUUGCGUUUGUCCUACUAAACUGAAACUUUUAUUUGCGCGUAAACUGUGUUAUGUUGUUUGAAUUUGAACUUAUUUGUGGGAACCUAUGUCAAAUUUGAGAAUUGGACGUUUUCUAUUUGCGAGUCGACACGGCGGUGCCCGAGCAGACCCCGCAAAAAGCCGACCUGGAAAAAAGUAUGUUCCGCGAAUAUCCUUUUAUAUGGGUCCGUUUGGGGCUCUACAUAUGCGGCCGUCCGAGCCGGCCCGCAAAGGCCGUUUUCCACAAACUGCAAAUGCAUUUGCGGGCCGGCCGGAUGCGGGGUCUGCUAGAGAUGCUCUUACCAUAGUGAGUAACAUUUUUGUUUUGUGUUGGUUUAUGCUAGUGACAAGGACAGUAUGACUCCUAAGAUUGGUAAUUUGCGUCUGAACUUGGGCUCAUUUGCACCUGAUGAACAGUAAAUUUUAAAAAAUAUUAAAGAAAUUUGAAAAAUCCUGAACUUUUUGGCAUCAAAGAUGCUUGGAUGCGCAAGGAAUAUGCAAUUUUUUGUGAUGUUAGAACGCUCGAGGAGCUUUAGGAAAAAAAGGGGUCCAAACAGUGUUCUUUUCAAAGUUUCUUUCACAGGCAAAAUUUGUUUUUUUUUGCCACGACCUCCAUGAAUGCCAAAACACCUGCAUUUUUGAUGCCAAAAAAUUUCAGAUUUGUUUUAAGUGUUUUUCUAUUUUAUUUGAAUUUACUGUUUACAUGAUGCACCUGCACCGAACCGGCCGCACUCCUUACGCUCCUAAGACUGGUCAAUUUAGCGAAAUUUUGUCAAUGUCUUCACUUGCCAUUGCCCACCACCAUCAUUUUCUAAUUGGAACAUCAGCCACAUGACAAAACUAGUUAGUAGUAUUAUUGUCUCCUUGACAGAGUAGUUCAUUUUCUUUGGUCAAUCCAAACAGGAGCCACAAAGUCAGAUAAAAACAAAACAAAAUAAAUAUUUUGUGAGUUGUAACCAGCCAGCCAUCAGCAGAGCAUCCCAUCCCAUGGUUUCAUAAUGCGUAAAUCAGAUCACCACACAACCGAACACAUGGCAUGCAAUCAGCACAAACGGGGACCUAAAGGCCGCUCCACCUAUCUCUCCCAACAGCUGCUAAUUUAGCCAGAGAAGCAGCCAACCAGACCAGCCAAGCAUUGGCCUGCCAGCCAGAAGGAUUACAGCUACAAACCUUUGUUUCCAAGCCAAAUUCUCAAGUCUCUACAUCUAAAAAUGAAAAGGCUUGAAGUCUCUAACUCCAAGUACUAGUACUAUAUAUAACCCCCCAAAUGAUCUCUAAUCCUCCAUCCAAGAUCACAAGCCUGACAACUUCUCCAGCUCUCUCCCAGCAGCAGAGUUAUCUUUGUUAGUUCAUUGCAGCAACGUCCGUCAAGGAAGCAAAUGGCGGUUACUCUGAAGCUCAGGAUCCUCGCUGUGGCGGCAGCCGCCGCCGUCAUGGUCAGCACGGUUUCCGCGGCUGAUGGACCAGCUCCUGCGCCAGCCUCCGGUGCGUCGGCUGCCGCCCCGGCUGUCGCCAUGGCGUCCCUGACCGCGCUCGUCUUCGGCUACUUCUUCUGAGGCCAUGUACUUGUGUGCAUAAUUAUUUGGGAUUCUUUUGGCUCUUAUCGUGUUCAUACAUGAUAUGAGUACAUCUUGUAAAUUUACAUGUUCUUUUUCCAUUUUGUAAUAGAAAAAUUGUGGGUACAUACAUUUGUUUUUUGAUAAAGGACGAUUUUUAUAAUGUAUGAUCAAAGAGAUACAAACAUACACCACGCAUCUGCAUGGAUAGUAUACACACAAUCAACGCGUACGUACAAACAAAUGAUCACACCAGCCAAUAACAAAAUCAUAUAAGACUGAAGCUAUGCCUAAACUAACAAACUACUCCCUCCGUCCGGAAAUACUUGUCCUCGAAAUGGUUGUAUCUAGACUUAUUUUAGUUAUAGAUACAUCCAUUUUCUCCAUUUCUAGGAUAAGUAUUUUCGGACGGAGGGAGUAAAAAAAAGAAAAGAAAAAGAGCAACGAUGAUCCACGCUAAACAGCUGCUAAUCCAACAGGAAUGAUGCAAAGGCAUACAAUCCAGACGUGGACGCAACCACACCAAAUUAAAAUCAUGCACAACCCAAGCAAGAAGCACAACCGCCAACAACCGUCUUCGUACCCAAGAACAUUCGUCGACAAACCGGUGAAACAGUUCAUAGAUCAACUGGGAGUGAGAGGAUGGUGCUGCCAAAAUCCCACACGGGAGACGCUCAGGCGAUCCUGCGCCUCCGUCACAAGUAUACGUCGGUGGUAAACCUAGGCAGACCACUGCCCCCAAACAAUACACCACUAUCCUCGUCAUGACCACGACCUGCCACCACUAGCUCCGUCGAGCAUCCGGAUCCAUGGCCUGUCCGUCCGCUGGGCCAACAUCACUGGCACUAUAGCCGCACACUGGUACAUACACUUGUGGUUCUAAUUAAUGGAUCACCUCUUUGUUUUACUUUGUUGGAUAUGCUGGAUUUAGUCUUCCAAAUUUCAACUUGUCAACGAAGGUGCCUAGAUCAUCAUUUUCAAUUUCAGUUUAAGAAAAAUUUCAGCACCAACCGAAAUCAUUGAAAUUCAAUGAAUUUAAGUGAUUUUGGUUUUUAUUUCAGUCAAAGAGCCGACAUAUUCACUUGAAUUCAAUUAAAAUUUGAUUUUUUUGGAAAGUAUUAUUAAAAAUAUUUGGGAAUUUCAGUGAUUCGGUUUUUAUUUCAGUCAAAGAGCCGAAAUAUUCACUUGAAUUCAAUUAAAUUUUGAAUUUUUUGGAAAGUAUUAUAAAAAAUAUUUGAUUUCCUGUGUACUACUGAAAUUGCCGAAAUAUUUUGGCUGAAAUGUAAAUAUUUCAGUGUCUGCUGAAAUGAAUGAAAUUAAGUGAAUUCAAUCGAAAUCUCACUGAAAGUGAAAACCAUGGCCUAGAUUUCUUGGGCAACCACACAAUGUGAGACCCCUGCUCCAGAGGAAGACCAAGAUGGAAUUCAACCUGAAUUUGGAACAAUCGCCAAAAAAAUACAAAUUGUCUACAGUCCUGAAUAUUUUUGUCAUUUUUUCAACCCCAUUUUUUUCACCAGCUCAGCUCUCAAUAGCUAUUUUCAUAUCAAGCCAACUCAUAAUUGUUGAUCCCAAAUGAUCAUACAAGUGUUUCUUACUAAGUAGUACUCCACCCGUUCCCAAAAGGAAGGCAUAUAACGUUUGUCUCAAGUCAAACGGUGCCAACCCCUAGGAAUGAGCCAUAGGUUCCACGUUUACCAUCAAACCGUUGUGAACACUUCUAGUUCAAAGAGAAAUCCAUAAUAAGGAUUAAAAAAUCCAAAAUACAUCAUGUCAAAGAAGUCUCAGUUAUGAGUUGUAACCUGCCAGCAAUCAGCAGUAGAGCAUUCCAUGAUUGUACUAUAAUGCAGAAACCAGCUCAUCACACAACCAAACACAUGGAAUGCAAUCAGCAUAAACGGGGACCCAAAGGCCAGAACACAACAGCUAGCAACUGGCCAACCUCUCCACCUUCUGUCCAGACCAGCCGAUGACACCCAGCACUGGCCGGCCGGCCAGAAGGGUUACAGCCAGAAAUCUUCAUUUCCAAGCCAAGUCUGAAGUCUCUAACUCCAAGUACUACUAUAUAUAAACUACGUUGCACGGAUACUUGGAUACAUAUCGGAUACGCGAUACGGGAAUAUGCCCGAUACGCCAAUUUUCUAAAAACAUGGAUACGGGGAUACGUUUAUAUAUAGAUGUGACAUAUAUUAAUUAUUACAAAUAUGAAGAAAAAAAUUAAGGAGGUUCUAGGUCAAAGCAUGCCUCAAUACGAUUACCCCUUUCUUUUCUUGCACUUAGUACACUUCCAUUAAUUGACAGUGAGGUUUGCCUAGGUUUACUGUUCCAAUCAGUGCAUCGACUCUCUCUUGCUCACCUUUCACUUGAACAAAAACAUUGACAGACAUGUUUUCACAUGAACUCACGCCCAUGUUGGAAAUCUUCAAAAGGUGCGCCUUUAUUAUUGAGGGGAUUUCACGUCGAACGAGGGGUUUCAGGUAUCCAAAACGUAUCGCAGAAGUAUCCUAGGAGUAUCAAACAUUAUUUUCUUUUUUACAUCAAAAUAUCAAGGGAUACUUACGGGAUACGUAUCGGGCAGUAUCGGGGCAGUAUCCGGCUGGAUACGCGCACUUUCUGAAAUAUCGUGCAACGUAGUAUAUAAACCCCCCAAAUGAUCUCUCCUCCUCCACCCAAGAUCACAAGCCUGACAAUAUCUUGAGCUCUCAUCCAGCACUAGAGUAAUUAAUAUUUGCUAGCUGCAGCAGCAACCUUCCACGACCAAGAAAAUGGCACCGACUCUGAAGCUCAGGUUCCUCGCCGUGGCCGCCACCGCCACCGUCGUGGCAUCGUUGCUGGUCGGCAUGGCCUCCGCGGUUGACGGACCAGCCCCCGCACCAGCUUCCGGCGCGUCGGUAACUGCCCCGGCUGUUGCCAUGGCCUCCUUGACCGCCCUCGUCUUUGGCUACUUCUUCUGAGGACAUGGGCGACGACGUGCAUCAUGUCGCGCAAUUAUUUGGGAUCUUUAUUUGAUUCUACUUGUGUUCAUACAGGAUAUGAGUACAUAUUGUAAAUGUAUGUCCUUUUUUAUUUUUAAUAAAAGUUUAAUUGGAUACAUACAAUUUUUUAUGAAGGCCGCUUUUUAUAAUCUACUGGUGUACUUAUUUUCCCCAAAAAAUCCUAGAAAGAAGGCGCACCUUUUAAUGUUUGGUUCCUGUAAUACCCUUAUUACUUCAUCAUUACUGUUGCUGAACAGACCCCCACAUUAAUUACAUGCAGUUACAACUCCUCUCAUGAUCGGCUCCACAUUACCUCGCCUCCCAAGGAAUCUUUUCCGAGGUGACAAGAGAGUAUUUCCCAUGGUAAGUUGGGAAACUAUUUUACCGUGGGCUCUUUUUGUUGGACCCGAAAAUUUACGCCUAAAGCAUAGGAACAAGGGAGUAACAUCAAAGGGUUACAAACACAAUAAGCACAUACCCGUCCAGUUGCAUGGUUUACCAGAUGGGAUGUCCCCAUCAACUUUUAUGAUCAACACUUGCAUCCUCUUCAAUAUUGGGAGCCCUUGGCUUGGGUGGAGACGAUGGUUUGAGGCCUAGGCCAUAGGCUCAAGUAUCUUUAAGUGCCACCAACUUCUUGCUUGCUUUAAGCUCAUUUCCUUUAUAAUGGGAUCUCGUGUUUCCAAGGUACCUGUCGGAGGGGGCGAAAAUCCAGGCUGCAGUGGCGUUUGAGCCAUGUUUGGAAGUACCCCUAGGGGGUCAUAGAGCCGUUGCGCGAGUGGGGACACACUCGCUUGGAGCGUCACCUCCUGCGGGCACAAAAGUACACCACCUCCUUCCCCGACAAAAGAUGGUUUCUCCUCCGAGUCCAUGAGAGGUGAUCUCCUAUCACUUGUUGCUUUUGCUAUCGGCGGAUGAAGCCCCCCUCGCACCAAGGGUGAGCGUUCCACGGGAGAUUGUGUCGAUGAAAACAGUGCCUCUCUGAAGCCCUCCUCAUUGAAGAGCCCCCUGCGGUGUUUCCAUGGGGUCUUCAUUGGGCCAAGACACUGCAUGUGCCAAGCGAGAGGACCACUCCUCCUCACACGACUCGCUCCUCCACCUGAACCCCCUUUCUCCCAGGGAUGAAUGCUCGUGGUUGAGAAGAACGAUAGGGAGGAUGGACCGGAGACACAAAUGGCGAGUCGAAGUUGAGGAUCCCCCGAGACUGCGUGUGGAGUGUGGCAUCAUAUAGAAGACUCCCAAGAAGAACCAGCUCCACCUUCUCCCUCAACGAUGAUCUCCGCUCAUCCACGACCUGGCCUCAACCUCGGGAUCUAGGGUAUCCAGAGUAGGAAGUUCCUUCGUCCUUUUCUUCUAUGGCCACAUGAACCACUCGGAGUAUAUACAUGAAAAGCCUAUGCUAUUUUUAUUGGAUUUUUUGGCAUGAUCACAGAGCACUACUCACGAAAUAGAGAUGAAACAUUGGUAGAUUGAUUCUUGGGGACCCAACAAGAAGGAGAACUCACCGCCGUUCUUCAUCAAGAUCAUCACCACGACAUUCCGCUUGACUAUUUGUGGUAGUAAUUGUGUGGUAAACCUCUCUCUUUGUUUUGUCAUGUCUAGAUCAUAUGAAAUAUUUGUCAUAAUUAUGAUCACCUAUGUAAUUCUUGUGGUGGAUCUUUUGAUAUAGAUGAAUAAUUCCAUUAUAGUAAGUAUAUUAGAUUCCCAUUUGAUUAGUCUAAUCACUGAGCAGUUUAGAUGAAAGAACAAUAGUGGGAAGAAUGUGCAUCAGAUGGUAUGGAGUCUGGAUCACUAUUUGCGAAUUAUUACUAAUGACAAAAUAUAGAUAAAAUCUGGAUGUGCCUCACAAAUGGAGAUAAGAUUUGACGGGUUUAAGGUUCUUCCCAUUGGCCACAAGAUGAAAGUUACUUAGCAUUUUUUUCUGCUAACAAAAAUGGCGUCCGCUCUAACCAUUUCAUUAAGGUAGGAAAAUAACGAAACAUAGUACAAUAAUUUUUUAAGUGAAGCGAAGAAAAAAAUGAAAUGAAAAGAAGACAUAAACCUUAAAGUACAUAGCAUUAUUGUCCCCUUGACAGACAUAAGUGCAGUAGGUCAUUUUCUUUCACUAGUCCCAUCUGGAGCCACAAAGUUAGUUAAAUUUAAGACAAAAAACGAACCACAGUUUCCACGUUUACCAUCAAAUGGUUCCGAACACUUAUAGUUCAAACAUAAAUCAAUCUUAUAAAAACACAUCAUGUCAACAAAGUCUUUGUGAGUUAACUAAGAAUUCCAUGGUUUCAUAAUGCGAAAACCAGCCCACAACAUGCCAAAAUCACUAUUCUGACCUUGACAACAAUCUUUGUCGCAAACUGAACCUGACAUGAAAGUAUUUCAUAAUUUGACCCUUUUAGCAACGCCACAGCCCGCGGCAUUUCCGCCAACUUAGAAACACCGAGCUAGCUAGAAUUUCUGCACUGGCCCACUGCCAGGCCGAGCACGCGUUGCUCGCUGACGUGGCAGGCCAGAAACGCCGAGCUAGCCAUCGUUUCUGGAAAUGCCAGGGUCCAUGGCAUUUUUGGUCUAGAUAUUUUAGGUGGCCGUGGGGCUCUCACCCACCACUCACCACUCACUCUCUUCUCCCCCAUUGGCCUAUCCCAAGCUCUUACCCUUUCCCCCCUUUGUGUCCCUCACUUGGCCCUCUCAAAUCCUUGCAAAUCGAUUGGGUUGGUCCAUGGAUCCGGUGUCAUUUCCAUUCCUUGAGGUAACCUCCUUCAUCUCACAAUUUUUAUUGGUUGGAUUUGUCUUUUUGGAUUAUUUUGUUCAUGUGGUUCCUAACCCUAGUUUUGAACAUGGUUCUAUAAUAUGAUGUUCUUGAGUAUUGUUGUUCCAACAGGGUUGCAUUGUGAUGUUGGUGAACAAACCUUAUUGUUUGGGUUAUGCCUAAUGUUAAGAUUUAGGGUUAGCGUUAGGGUUUGGGUUAUGCUUAAUUUGGAUGGAAAAAGUUGUUCUUUUAGCAAUGUGGUAUAUUUAGCAUUGUUCAUUUCUUGUACUUAUGUUCCCCUUUUUUAGAUGGACAAGAUUGUGAAUAUUUGUUAUGUUGACAAAGAGGCAUUCAUGAAUGUUGACAUUGUUGACAAGUAUGAGGAAGUGUUGAUAUUUCUUGAGAAUCCUAGUUAUGAAGAGGUUGUGGAAGAAACACAGAUAAGAUUAAAGUGGGUGGAUGCAAGUGACCAAGUUGACUUAGUAGGAAGAUAUGAUGUUGGGUCGGCACACAAGUGUUGAAUGAAGACAAUGCCUAUCAAAUCCAAUUUGCAUUGGGUUGCAUAUAAGGAUGUUGUUGCAUUCUCGGCAGUCAAGUCACUCGAAGUGUUUGCAAGUAAGGUGGUCAAGCCUCCUCUCUUUCAUGUUGACUUGAACUAAACCUUAGUAGAUGACGUGAGCUUGACUAGUAGUGUGCCGCCUAUUGUUGAGCAUAAAGUUGAAGUGGAAGCCAAUGAGUAUCCCCAAUAUGGGUUCGGAGGUAGUGCACCGAUCGAUGAUGAUGGUCAUGACUCCGACGAAGAGUAUGAGAGGCACCAAAACAUUGUUGGUGACGUAGAGGCUCAAGUAAGGCAUAAGGACAUGGAUCCUGACAUUAUCUAUCAGCGUGCAUCUGUGGAUGACUCAGAUGAUGAAGGCUCGAUGAAUGAGUUGGAUGAGGAUGGCUUCACUGAGAAAGAGGUAGAGUGGUACACAAAAAUCACCGGUAGGGAUCACAAAGUUCCCUUGUUUUGUGAUGUUAGCCUUGCAGAUAAGGAUAUAGUCGACGGUGGCAUGAGCAAGACAACUGAGGCUAGACAGUUUCCCAAGUAGUACACCCGACGAGAUUUUGAUGUCUUACCUAAGGAAAGGUUUGAUGUUCAAGCACAUGCUAGAAUUCAAGAUGUGGUUGGGUGAGUAUGCUGUCAAACACUACAUGCCUUUCUUAGUUGUUCACUCAGACUGGAACAAGCGAUACACCGUGAAAUGUGAGGUAGAAAGAUGCAAAUGGAAAGUCAAUGGAAGAGUCACGAAAGAUGGUUGGUGGAAGAUAACUAGUUGCAAAGCCACUCACCAAUGCACACCGCCGACCGUAGAAGCACGAAAGACACACCGUCAGUUAACCUCGGAAUUCAUCGGUUAUAAAUACCAGAAACAUAUAGCCGAGGAUCCAACCAUUAAAGUGAAGUUGUUGAUGAGUUGGGUUGAAUAUAAGUUUGGAUAUAAGGUCAAGUAUAGGAAGACAUGGAAGGCCAAUCAAGUCGCUCUUAGAAUGUUGUAUGGUGGAUGGGAAGAGGCGUACAACAUGCUACCCAGGUUGUUGGGAGCGAUGUCCUAUAGAAACCCAUGAAUAUACCACUAUGUCCAAGAUAUUGAAGGAGUGUUCCGUUGUGCCUUUUGGCCCAUGCAUUGCAGCUUUUGAGCAUUGUCGUUCGGUUUUGUCUAUAGAUGGAACAUUCUUGACAGGCAAAUACAAGGGCACACUCAUGAUAGCAAUGGCACAUGAUGCUAAUGAUCAGGUGUUGCCUAUGGCAUUUGCUUUGGUGUCCAUGGAGAACCAAGACAACUGGGAAUGGUUCAUGAGACUUGUGAGGAGCACGGUCAUUCUUCCGAAUAGGGAGGUAUGCAUCAUAUCUGAUCGGCACCAAGGCAUAUUGAGGCCAUUGAUAUUCACAUUCCAGGGCAUGCAAGGCUUCACCACCGAUGGUGUAUGAGGCACUUCGUUGCAAACUUUUACAUGGCUUGUAAGAAUAAGGAUCUUUACUCCGCAUGUGUAUCCUUCUCCGUUGAGUUGUUCACGAAACGCUUGAACAAAAUCUAUGAGAAGGCAAACGAAGGUGCGAAAGAAUUCCUAGAAAGGAAUAUUGAUGAGAGACACAAAUGGUUACGGGCAUGUGACGAUGGAGGCAUGAGAUAUGGUGACAUGACAAGCAGUCUUGAAGGGUGCCCAUCAGUUGCCGGUGGCGGCAAUAGCAAAAUAUACCUUUUACAAGCUAAAUGAGUAUUUUCUGAAGCACUACUAUGAAAUUGACAAGUUGAUUGGUGAUAGUGAGAAGCCUCCCAAUGAAAUUUAUCCGAAGAAGGUUGCUGAGUGGCUAGAGUUUCAGAAAGACAAGUCAACCAUCCAGCGAGCCACUUGUCCGCGAGACAUAAGUCAAGGAGACAUAGUACAAACAAGUCUGCGAGACAUAAAACAUAACAAGUUCACACAUUCACUUCUUCCCUCUUUUGGCAGGGAGACACAAAGCUACAUUACAAGUUCAAUAGACAUAAGGCAUCAGUCAUCACUUCAGUUCUUCCCUCUUUUUGCAGGCAUCUUUUCCCCUUGUUGAUGUAGCCCUCUGGAGUGUUCUACCAUCCCGGACAUUGGCUAAUUCUUGAGCUAGCUCGUCGUGCUUCUUCUGACGGCUGAGAAGGUUGAGUUGGCUGCGAAGCUUCUUCCAUCUGCGAAGCCCCAAGCUCCAUAUAGUCUGGAUCCGCAUCUUCGUCUGUCUCCUCUUCCUCUUCCUCUUCCUCAAUCCGUGCUCGGCUUGAAGAAGCACGAGCUACUCUCGAAGAUGCACGAGCAGAAGAAGCACGUGCUCGGCUGGAAGAUGCACGAGCGGAAGAAAGCACGUGCAUUUUAUAUUGAGCACGUGCCCGCACAUACGUGGAUGAACCAUCGUGGCAAGAGAGUAAAGCGGAUAGUGUGCGGCAACGAUUCACGACCUUCCGCACAAGGAAAAACAUUGACAUGUUAAUAUGCAAAAAGAGUUACGAUGAAAGAAAGCACAUGUUCAUAUUGACAUGUUAACCUGCAGAGUACUCCUAACAAGCCCAUCCAUUUCUGGACCAGGGGCACGACCAAGCACCACAUUACUAUAAUUGAUACAUCUCCAUAGCUCUGUGCCCUGAAUAAAACAAAUGUGACACACCACUCACGAAGAAAUGUCACAUGUUCAUAUUUCAAAAGAGAGACAAAAGAGAGACAUACCACUCGGUCAUGCAAAGGGCCAUAAUAUAGGUGCGCUCCAAUGGUCUCCCUAAUAGAGUUGUUGAAUGCACCAUCAGUAGCCUCACUUGGCAUUAGGUACAAGCAAUAGGCACGAGUCCAAGCACCCUUGUGGAUAACUCUGUACUCUUUGCGAAACCACUCCAAAGGCCUUAAAUAUGCCCCCUCAUUGUUGUCGGUUGUGUGAUCAUUUUCAACUCGAGCAUUCCUAUGAGCAUUCCACAUGUCCACCCACAUAAGCUGGCGAUCCUCCCAGUUCGUGACUUUCUUGUUGUUUUUCUCGUCCUACAAAGCAUGAGAAGAGUACAUCAGUUUCAUUUUUUCAUGUUACACAUUGAUCAACAUGUGGUACAAAAAACUCUCACCUAUGUAGCGGCACAAUUGUCUCACCGUAGUCUGGCGGGGUGCGUUGUUGUACUCCAAAUUGCUUUGAAGCACGAUGUGGAAGAUGCCACUUGACCACAAAGAAGCAUAUCAAGGGGCACCGCACAUGCCAAAGAUGUUUGUCACGAAGGCACAUAUUGCUCAAAGGGAACUGCCUAAGUACCAUGUACGACCUCCAGUUGACCUACAUCACAACAUGUCACUCGCUCAUGCAUAUUUUUUUUCAGGAAUGAUGACAAAGCAUUUGGAUAAGUACCUGAUUAUAACUCAGCAUGUCAAGCUGGCUUAUGUAUGCCUUGUACCGCCCCAUGGCGGCGAUACUCGACACUUGGACAUUAGCCCAUGUGUGUGCGAUAGUGGGGUACCGCUCCUCAUCCCCGUUAAAAGGCCACUCCCAAGGUUCUUCCGGGGCAAUGGUGACGUUACGGCCUACAGGGAUACGCUCCCACAUCCAACCUGUAGGGCCCAAACGAAACCACCAAGACAAGAUUUUGGCUUACUCCUCAUACAUUCUCCGCCCAACUGCACAUUUGUACACACGUUAAACGAUCACACGCAAACAUCUAUUUCAUAUAAUGAAAAUGCAUCAUAGUAAGCAUUACCUGACGGUACAAGAAGGCUAGUGCCGCCGACCCCAACUCCACUUAACAUCCCAGUUACGAAGAGGGUCCAAGAACAUCCAUGAGGCUGUGUCCCCCGUGCAAUCCAGAAACACCACUUGGGUCAAAAGAUUCCAUAAGUAAGCCCUGGCGUACCUCUCCACAACAGCAGGACUGGCAUCCUCUGGGUACUCGUAAAAAUGUUCUCGUAGUCGCGAGAACAACACACCAGAUGGCCUAGGAUCCUUCUUGGUUUCAUGAAUCCACGGUAAAGGUUUAACACCAACCAAUCCCGCAACCUGUUGUUGCCACCCCUCAGACUUCACCUUCCCAGUAAGAGCCCUGCCCUCGAUCAGAAGCCCAGAGAUCAUCACAGUAUCCUCCAAAGUGAUGGUCAUGUCACCAAGAGCAAGGUGGAAAGAGUGCGUCUCCGGCCUCCAAUGGUCCGUAAGGGCGGUAAUGGCCGUCGAGUUCAGCCAUGGUGGUGUGCCUUUAAAGUUGAGCACAAACUGAAGAAGAUCCAUUCUUCUAAAAUAAGGCUCGUAGCGACGGUCAUAUUCGAGUGAUUCACGUAGGUUGUGGCCCCUCAACCGAAGUAUUGGAGGAACCUAAAAAAAACAAAUGCAUAAUUUUGAUACUUCUCUCAACUUGUCACAAUAUGAAAGUCAAACAAUGUAGAUACAUAAUUACCUCCCCUCUUUCCACUAGCACAACAUGAUGCUUCUUCUCGUAAUAAUCAUCAAGGCCGGGAUAUUUAUCCGGCUCAAACAUCCUACAUAAUAAGUUAAGGACUUGUUAAUACAAAUGCUUAAAACAAUGACCACAUUGCAUACACAAUGGUACAUACAUAUACAUUUUAAUCUCUAAGGAAAAUACCACAAAUCCCCAACCACGUUACCAACACCAAUUCUUUUCAACCACAAUUAUCCCAAACAAUCUAUUCAAACUACUUAGCAACAAUAAUCUUAUGAUUCAACAUAAUACAUUUUUUCUAUCUCUAUAUCCAAUACUACAUUACUAUCCUAACAAAUACUUCAACACAAGUAGUAUAUCUUCUUUCUAAACAUAAUCUCAACGAAAUUUCUACAUACAAAUCACAAACAACUAAUUUUAUGGUUCCACCAUGUUUCAAAAAAUGCAUCUACAAUAAUCAAUCUUGACUGAAAAAAUUGGAGGAAUAGAAUGAGAAUACCUGAAGCAACUUGGGACGGUCCGAUCUACUCCUUUUGAUGGCAAAAAUAGAGGAUUAGGGUUGGAUUUGGUGGAGAAGGAGAGAGGGGCAGAGAAAGUUCGUCUCUGGCGGCUAAGGAGGAAGACCCCGCUGGGGCUACGAGUGGGCUGGGUCCUACCCGCGGCCCUGCGGCUUACUUAAUUAAUCCAGCACAGAAAUGCCAAGGCCCAUGGCGUUUCAGGCCUGGCACGUCAUCGAGCAACGCGCUUGGGCUGACCGUGGGCUAGGGCGGAAACGCUCGCUAGCUCGGCCUGUCUCUGUGCCGCAGAAACGCUCGCUAGCUCGGCGUUUCCAUGUUGGGCAGAAACGCCGCGGACUGUGGCAUUGCUGAAUGGUCAGAUCAUGAAAUACUUCCGUGUCGAGUUCAGUUUGCGACAAAGAUUGCUGUCAAGGUCAGAAUAGUGAUUUCGCCCCCCACAACACAACCGAGCACAUGGCAUGCAAUCAGCACAAAGCGCAACAGCUAUCAACUGGCCAACCAUUUGCCAUUUUAAACCAUACCAAACAAUAACCAGUGAAGCAGCCAACCGAGCAUCGGCCAACCGGUCAGAUGGAAUACAGUCGGAAACCUGUAGAGACCUUCAACUCCCAAGUCCGAAGUCUCUAACUCCAAGAACUACUAUAUAAAACCCCCAAAUGAUCUCCCCUCCUCCACCCAAUAUCACAAGCUUGAGAGCAUCUUCAGUUCUCUCCCAGCACUAGAGGAAUCUCUGAUAUCUCAUUGCAGCAGCAUCCACCGAGGAGCAAGCAAAUGACACCGACUCUCAAGCUCAGGAUCCACGCCGUGGCCACCAUCGCCGCCACCUUGGUCGGCACAGCCUCUACGGCGGAUGGACCGGCUGCCGCCCCGACCUCCGGCGCGCCGGCUGCCGCCCCAGUUGUUGCCAUGGCGUCGCUGAUCAUGCUUGUCUUCGGCUACUUCUUCCGAGGCCAUGGACGAAUGUGUCGCGUACGCAAUUAUUUGCUUCAGUACAAGCCUCCUAAACACAUCAGCGAAGCCGAUCUUUUCAUACCCCUUCGUAAUAAAGGAUAGAAAAUACAUCGCCCAUCAAAACGUGGCUUGUAUAUGUACCGCACACCCUCUCUCCGCCCUUGGCGGGCCCAUUUUUUUUACUUUUUCCACUUCUGAAAAAUCUUCAAAAAUAAAUGACAAGUAGACUACUUUCUUGUUGUAUCUAAUUACCUUCUUUUUUUCCUUUUUAAAUAUAACAGUAACCAAUGAGAGCCUAUCUGUUUUUUUUUCAGUUUUCGUCUGUCCGUGUUUUCUUCUGCUUUUUAUUUUAGUUUUAGGUUUUUAAAACAAAAUCAAGAACUAUUUUUAAAUCAUGAACUUUUUCUUAAUACCAUGAUUCUUUUUUCAAAUCCACAAACUCUUUUCAAUUGUUAUGAAUUUUUACAAAGCCCGUUAUUUUAACUUUUUCAGAUCCAUAAAUGCUUGGGCCGGGCCCAUGACUUUUCUCUUCCAAAAUUAAUGAACAUUUUUAAAUCCGUAAACGCUUGGGCCGACAGGAGUCAACCAACCUGGCAGUCGGGUGGAGAUUGGACGGGAAAACCCUAUUUGACGUUCUCCGCACAGGCGCACGAAAACUUGGGCCGGCCCAUCAACUACUGUUCACAUCGCUGGCAGUUCCCAUUUUGCGAAACUCCUAGAAGGUUCCCAGCGGUUUUUCUGGUUUUGGGAAACGUCUAGAAAGUUCCUCAGAUGGUUUUUUAUUUACUUUUUUUGUUUCCUUUUCUAUUUCUUUUUUCCGUUUCUUUUGUCUUUCUUCUUUGUUUUCGUUUUUCUCUUUUCCAAAAAACGUUAGGAUCUGCGAAAAGCGUUCACAAAUCCAAUUUUUUUUUCCGAAAGUAAGAAAAUGUUUGCAUUUUAAAACAGUUUGUCCAAAAAAUCCAAAAAAUUGUUAUCGAAUUUCAAGAAAUGUUCUUGUUUCAAAAAUUUGUUCACAAAUCCCCAAAAAAAAUUCUAAUUUCAAAAAAUGUUCCCAUUUCGAAAAUUUGUUCACAAAUUCCAAAAAUGUUCGGGUAUUUCAAAAAGUGUUCCAACUUUUGAAAGUUUGUUCAUGUUUAACAAAAUGUUCUCAUGUUUCAAAAAUUGUUCAUAGAUUAAAAAAUCUUUGUGCACAAAUUUUAAAAAUGUUCUCAUUAUUUUAUAUUUACUUUUUUCAGAUUCCAAAAAUGUUCCAUUUUUUUAAAUUUUUGUUCGCAAAUUUGAAAGUGAUCACUAUUUUCAAAUAAUGUUCACAAUUUCAAAUAAUGUUCUUGUUUUCAAUUUUGUUCCUUUUUUAUUCACAAAAACUGUUUGUGGUUUUGAAAAUUUGUUCCCAUUAUCAGAUUUUUGUUCUCAAAACUCUAUAAAUGUUUGGGUUUUCGGAAAAUGUUCACGAAUUUCAAAAACCAAUGUGUCGAAAAAUGUUCACGUCUUUUGUUUUACUUUUUGAAAUUUCAAAAUAUGUCCGAUUUGUUAAAUUAUUUCAUCAUAUUUUGAGACACUGCUCAUUUGUUAAAAAAAUCACAAUUUCGAAGGAAAGAUUGAAAAUAUUCAAAAAACUGUCCAGAUUCUUCAUUGGUAUUAGUUCUUAUACCAGCACGCUUGAUAUUUAGCAUCAAGGCUUGUUAGGUCUACUGGUUAGCUCCUCUCGUAUCCAACAUGGAGGUCCAGAGAUCGAAUCCUUGCCCGAAUAUUUAGCAGGCGUACAGUCUGCACACGAUCCUAGACUCAUGCCACAACCGGACGGGUGACUCGAUCCAAUUGGGCACCUGUCGGGUCUAAUAUUUUAAUUCAUUUUUAUUUUGCCUAACUGUCUGCAUGUCUUGCGUUUAGCAUUCAAAUGUACUUUGCCGAUGCCCUUGUUUGUCUCCUUCAUAGCACAAUCCAGCCCGUCGUGCGCUCAAGCAAGAGAGGUGGGACUAAAUAAGCCAAUCCUAUGUUCAUUUUGUUGCCAACCACGUACAGCACAUGGCUCGUGCAUGACCUUCAGUCGCUGGGGCCCAAUAGGCCGAAAUACUACACCAUUUUAAAGUUACAUAGAUUAGUAGUAUUUAUAUAAUUUGUUUGCUCAAAAAUAAUGAUUCAACUAUGGACCUUACCAUUCUUGAGGGACCCACAAGAAAUAAAAGGCAGAGCAAACAUGCAUACAUGCAUCCCUACUGGCAGCGUUGGUGUGUACUAAACUCACCUAAAAAAUGGUGUGUACUAAAUAAAUUAAUUAGCAUGUAUCUUCACCAAAACGUCCACACAUCAUAUAAAAUAAAAAAGUAUUGUACUAACUAAUAUUAAUCGGAUGACCAUAGGGCUACCUAAGAGGGAGAAACCCCAUGCCCAUACCCAUGACUAAUCGGGUUACCCAUGGAUGAAUAUGGUCACCUGUACCCUACCCAUUUCGGUCGGGUGUCCAUGGGCGUGGUCCCCCAUUGGUCGGAUUGCCGGGUUGAGACGGGAGUGAUGUCAACACCUAGUUGGGCUAAGGCCUAAGCAUAUUUUUCUUUCCUACUUAUUAUUAUUUUUUUCUUUUUUUGUCAAUUUAUUUUUCUCCAUUUUAAACUUUAUUAUUAUUUUGAAAUCUGUUCAAUUUUUUUAAUGUUGUUUGGAAUUCAAAAAAAUUAUUUGUUUUCAAUUAUUGUUUACAAUUUUAAAAAUGUUCUCGAAUUUCAAAAAAUGUUCUCAUUUCUGAAUUUUUUGUUCAAAUUUUUGAAAAAUGUUUGUGUUUCAAAAAAGUUGAUAUUUUUUUAAAAAGUAAGUUGUUUGCAAUUUGUUUUCAACAUCAAUUGUUGAGAAUUUGUUAACAAUUUUGGGGAAAGUGCUCAAGUUUGUAAAAAUUUCAUACACAGUUUCAAACUCCCAAAUUAUUGAAAUAUUUUUAGAAAUGGUUAGGACUUAGGAAAAUGUUCAUGUUGUUUGAUAAUGAUGGGAAUUGUAAAUAACUGAAGCAUUCAAAUUAGUAAAAACUACAUGCUCACGAAUGCACCCUUCUGGCCUAGUCUAACACACUCCUCUCAACUGAUGUUUUUUUGGGACUAUGGAUAAAUGGCCCCAACUUCUUGUAGCAGCCUAGCACGGACAUAUGAGGCAUCCAUACUAGAUUCGCAUGACUUAUGACACCGUUAGCACGUUGCGACACGUUCAACCACUUAUCAGUCAUUUUUCACUGAGAAAACUUCAGACAGUGCAAAACUUGUCAAACAUCCAAACUACUUGGUAUUAUGCUUUGAAUUGGUCACAGAAGCUGGUGAAAUUUUUUUGGGGCCAUUUGACGAUGCCAAAAAACAAUAUGCUUUCAAAUGGACUCUUCUGGCUACCCGAACAUAAUUCAUUGCAUAUGAUCUAUUUUUGGACAUUCUUAAAAUGACCACAACCUUUUCAAGUAGGUGGGCAUGCCCAUGGUAGGCAUCCAUGUAAGGUUUAAACGAUUUCUGACACCGUAUGCAGGUUUUGACACGCCCGAUAAUUUAUCGGUCUUUUUUGACCGAGAAAAUUCCAGAAAAUGCAAAAUUUGUGGAGAAUCAAAACAACUUGUCAUGGUACCUUGAAUUGGUCAUACAAGGCCAUGAUAAAAAAAUUGGUGCCAUUUCAAGGAUGUCAAGAACACAACGUGCUCUCAGAUGGAGCCUUCUAGCCUACCCGAACACCCCCCAAUUAAUAUGGUCUAGUUUUGGACAUUCUUGAAAUGACCCAAAAUUUUGCAAGAAGGUGGCCAGCCUAUGAUAGGUAUCCAUGAAAGGUUUGAAAGAUUUUGGACACCGUAUGCAAGUUGCGACACGUCCAACCAUUUAUUGACCUUUUUUUAUCGAGAAACCUCCAAAAACUGCAAAAUAAAUAAAUAUGAAAACUAAAAUAACUUGGCAUGGUUACUUGAAUUGGUCACAUAAGGGUAUGAAAAAAAUUGGGAUCAUUUCAAGGAUGUAAGAAACAACGUGCACUUAGACGGAGCCUUCUCGCCUUAUCCAAACACCCUCCAUUCAACAUGGUAUAUUUUUGGACAUCCUUGAAAUGACCUCAAGUUUUACAAGUAGGUGGGAAUGCCCAUGGUAGGCAUCCAUGUCAGGUUUGAACUAUUUCUGACAUCAUAUGCAAGUUGCAACACGGGCCAUCUAUCGGCCUUUUUGACCAAAAAAAUCCAAUAAAUGAAAAUUUUGUCAAAAACCAAAAUGAUUUGGCAUGGUGCCUUGAAUUAGUCAUACAAGUUAAUUGAAAAAAAUUGGGACAUUUCAAGGAUGCCAAAAAACAACGUGCUCUGACGAAGCCUUCUCGCCUAUCCGAACACGCUACUUUCAACAUGUUCUAUUUUUUGACAUCCUUAAAAUGACCCCAAGUUUGCAAGCAGGUGGGUUUAGCCAUGGUAGGCAUACAUGUAAAGUUUGAACGAUUUUCGACACCGUAUGCAAGUUGUGAUACAUCCGACCAUAUUUUGACCGAGAAAACUCGAGAAAAUGCAAAAUUUAUCCAAAACCAAAGCAACUUGGCAUGGUGCCUUGAUUUUGUCAUACAAGGCCAUGAGAAAAUAAUUUGGGCCAUUUCAAGGAUGUCGAAAAACAGCAUGCUCUCAGACGGUCCUUCUGGCCUACCCAGACACCCUCCGUUAAACAUGGUGUUUUUGUGGACGUCCUUGAAACGAUCCAAACUUUUGCCGCACGGUUUGAACAAAUUCCAAUGCCGUAUGCAAGUUAUGACAUGUUUGAGAUUUUAUCGCUUUAUAUACUAAGAAAACUUUAGAAAAUGCAAAGCUUGUCGAAAACCCAAGGAACUCGACAUGAUACCUUGAAUUGGCAAUACAAUGCCAUCAUAAAAAAAUUGGUGCCAUUUGACGAUGUCGGAAGAAAGCAUGCUUUCGAACAGAGCCUUCUAACUUACCCAGACAUCCUACAUUGAACAUGGUGUUUUUUGGACAUCAUUGAAAUGACCCCAACUUUUACCACCAGGUGGGAAUGCCCAGUAGGCAUCCAUGCCAGGUUUGAACAGUUUUCAACGAAGUAUGCACGUUGCGACACGUACAGUCAUUUAUCUAUCUUUUUUCGACAUAAUAUCCAGGUUUGAAGGAAAAAAAGUAUUUAAAAUCAUAAUAUAAGCAUGUACGUAAAACUAUUAUUUGAAGCUUUUAACAUAUCUAAAAAAACAAAAGAAUAAAAUUGAAACAACAAAUGCUUUUUAAACGCAUUUAAUAAAUAUUUGAACAAAAAAGAAUUGAAAACCAUAUUUUAAAAAAGUUAAUUUAAUAUUUUAAAAAAGAAUUGAAACCAUAUUUUUAAAAAGUUCAUAUAUUCAAAGUUUUUCUGCACAAAUAAAAGAAAAUUCAGGGAAAUUAAAUAAAUGGUUUCAGAUUUUUUCCAUAUUUUCUAUUUCUAUAAAUUCAAAUUUGUUAGUGUUUUAUAAAAACUGUUUGUAAAAUUCAAAAAUGUUCAUGUUCAAAAUUUUGUUCGCUCUUUAUACAAAAUGUUUGUGUUUUGUGGCAUUAUGAACAAUUUUUAAAGACACUACAUUUGUUUUUGAUAUUUAUGUACAAUUUUAUUGAAUGUGCAUUUUUCUAUUUUUGAGCAAAAUAUAAAUAAGCAAAGAUUUUUUUAAAAUUUCAAAAUUUUGUAAAAGCGCGAGCAUUUUCUAAAAAGAAAACAAAAACAAAAACAAAAACAAAAAUGAAAUAGAAAAAUUAUAAAAAAAGAAAUACUGAGCAAAGACUGAUUCGCUCAAGAUGAAAAGGUCAUGUAUUUUGAAAAAGAAAUUCUUGGAUUUGAAAAAAGUUCAUCUAUAUUGAAAAAAACUUCACGGACUUGAAAAUAGUUCAUCGAUUUUUUUAACAAAAGUUCCCGGAUUCUGAGAAAGAAGUUCACUAAAAGGUUGAAAAAAUCUGAAAAAAAGUUCACUGAUUUGAUUAAAAGUUCAUGAAAUUUGAAAAAGGUUCACUAGAAGGUUAGCAAAAAACUGAGUGAAAGUUCAAGGAUUUGAAAAAGCCAAGAAAAAUUGAAAAAACUUCACGCAUUAAAUAAAGGGAAACAACAAAAAAUAAAAAUAAAAGAUAAAACAAAAACUAAGUAAAAACAGGCCAAAGAAAACAGAAAGAAAAAAAGGAAAAUAAAAGUCCUCUUUUUAGUGUUGUAAGUUGACACAUAACAAAGACAUAGAAAACAAUAUAUAGUCACAUGAGUGAGCUGUCCCAGUUUUUUCUGAGGAGUAAACCACACUUUAUUAAUUGCUAGAUGCACGGUUUAUAGGGAUUACAAAAAGGUCGUGGGGUAAACCCAUCCACAAGUGGCGACCACCAGCUAAAGAAGAAAACUUAGCUAAACUGUGAGCAUCAAAAUUCAAACUACGACUUUCAAGAAUAAAUUCAUAACUUGAGAAAUAUCUUGAUUGGGCAUGAAUCACCUUCAUAAUGGUGCUAUACCUUCCUUCAGUGCCAUUCUUUAUCUUCUCUACCACUGAUUUGCAAUCACAUGCAACGACGAUUCGGUCGAGUGAUAGAUCCAAUGCAAGAGCCGAGGCUUCGUGGCACGCAAGUGCCUGCAGGGUCGUCGGGUCGUUUAUGUUAGUAAAAACCAUCGGCGAGGAGCCCAAGAAUUGACCCGUAUGGUCUCGACACACUGUUGCAGCUGUCCCACUACUCCCGUCCGUUGAUAGUCCCCCGUCAACCUGGAUCUUUGUCAAGCCUGGACUAGGAGCAAUCCAAUGUUGCCGCCUGAGGUAUAGCAUGUGUCAUUGAGCUUGUAAGUGCAUGGAUAGUACCAUGUUCAGAUAUAAAACUGACGAUGAAAGCAUUUGUUGCGUGCGGACUUCGCAAAAUACCCUCGUGGAUAGCUUUUCGUCACGCCGCCCAGAUAGCUUAUAGGGUAACAACUAGCUUGAUCAAGCUUGCAUGUGGAAGUUCAUCAAUUAGUGCAAAUAACCACAGUUUGGCAUCUGGCUCGGAUGGCUUUGUAUGUUAUCAGCCACAUCCUCGUCAACUAGUGCCCAUACACAACGUGCUAUAGAACACUCUAUAAGAGAAUGGCGCCAAGAGACCGGCAUGCCACAUAAUUGGCAUUUGUCAACCUCGGCCAUGUUCCUUCUAUGGCAAACAUCCUUUGUCGGAAUAGAGUGCUUCACUAGUCUCCAUAGAAAAUUACGGAUCUUUCCUGGCACUGGGAUCGCUCAUAACGUAGUCCAAGCCUUAGUUUGAGUUUUAAAAUUAGAACUCCCUGCAUUACCCUCAAGCCAAUCUUCUCUCCGCCUUUUAGUAACAACCAACAUGCGAUAAGUUGAUCACACAAUGAAUAUCCCUUUCUUUUUGAAGUUCCAAGCCAAAAAAUCAUCCAUCCGUCUAGUUCAUAAAGGAAUGCUCAAAAUAGCACUAGUGUCUGUCGCCAAAAAUGUUUGGUCCAGUACCUCUCUCUUCCAAGUCGCACUUGUAUUAUCAAUGAGGUCACUUACCAACACAGGAGGGUUAGCCGAAAGACAAACUAUCGGCCUCAUGGUAUUAUUUCUUGGUAUCCAAUUAUCUCCCCAGAUCCUUGUUGUGGAGCCAUCUCCAAUUUACCGUAUCUAUCCUUGACAAAGAACAUCACACCCUUCCAAUAAGGCACGCCACAGUUGUGAUGGCCGGCUGCCUAACUCUGUGGAGAGGAUAGUUCCAUUAGGAAAGUAAAUUGCCUUCAACAUACGCACACAACGUGGGUCCGAAUGCUGUAGUAUCCUCUAUGACUAUCUUGCCAGAAGAGACAAAUUAAAAAGCUCAAAAUCUCGAAAGCCAAGUCCUCCCAUGAAUUUUGGUUGAGUCAUCGUUUUCCAUGCAACCCAAGUAGGCCUUCUUUUUCUUUCUUUGCCCCCCCCCCCCACACCAAAAUUGCCUAAUAAGUUUGUUUAGAUGCUCACAAAGGGCCCUUGGCAAUUUAAAGCAAGAUAUAGAAUAAUCCGUCACCGCUUGUGUAAUAGAUUUCACUAGUACUUCCUUACCCGCUUGCGAUAAAGUUUUCUCAAUCCAUCCCUUCACCUUGAUCCGCAACCUAUCUUUCAAGUACUUGAAUGCUCCAAAUUUUGAAGUACCUACAUCUGAUGGCGUGCAUAGAUACUUGUCAUUCAAAGUCUCAUUUGACACAUUCAUAAUACCUUUGAUUUCAUCUUUGACAUUAGCUGGACAACCUUUACUAAAGAAGAUAGUUGAUAUAGUCGGGUUGAUCUUUUGACUUGAAGCUUGACAAUAUGAUUCCAACAGGUUUGAAUCCUCUGUCGCUCCUUGACCAUUUGCUUUGAAUAACAAUAGUCUAUCAUCUGCGAAUAAGAGGUGAUUGACAGGCGGUGCCGAGGGCGCCACUUGUAUCCCACCCAGUUGAGAUGACUCACUUAAAUUUUUCAAUAGGCUUGAAAGGUCCUCCACUGCCAACAAAAAUAGGUAAGGGGAGAUUGGACCUCCCUGACGGAUACCUCUGUUAGGUCUGAAUUCCUCUAGCUUCUUACCAUUAAAAAGGACCGAGUAUGAAACUGAGCUAACAAGAUUCAUAACAAUAUCAACCCAUCCGUGAGAGAAGCCCAGCUUCAGCAUUAUAGCUCUUAGAUAAUCUCAUUCGACCCUGUCAUACGCUUUCAUCAUGUCCACCUUGAGAGCACAAUGACGGUGCUUAACCGCUCUGUUCCGCUUCAUAAAGUGCAAACAUUCAUAUGCUACAAUUAUGUUAUCUGUGAUCAGAUGCCCAAGUACAAAAACAUACUGUUCUACCGAUAUGAUCUCUGGAAGUACCACUUUCAAACGGUUAGCUAUAACUUUGGAAGCUAUCUUAUAGAGAACAUUACACAAGCUAAUGGGGAGAAACUGUGAAAGGAGCACCAGACUUUUUCCCUUCGGAAUCAAGACCAAAUAUGUUUGAUUUAUACCUUCCGCACUUUCAUGGCCUUCUACAAUUUUCAGCACAGUAACCUCAGCUCCACAGACCGCUCAAAUUUUUUAUGAAAGAAGUGCGCAGGAAACCCAUCAAGCCCCGGCGAUUUCAUAGGAAACAUUUUAGGGCUGUUUCACCUCCCCCUCAGUAUAUGCCGCGUCAAGCAAGCUGCGCAUGUCAUUAGUAAAAACUGCUUGCAUGUUGGUGCAACCCUCCGACGUAUACAACGUCUUAUAAAAAUCCGUCGUCAUUGGUUCCAACUCAUCCACAUCCGCUGUUAACUUGUCCAUCCGGCCGAGCUAGAGCUUUAAUGUGGUUCUUCCUCCGUAGCCAAAUGUAGGACCAAAGUGUAUCGAUUCUUAAAUAUAGCGUCGAUGUCAAACAAACAAUGCCAAAUUUUUCUUGCAAUUAUAUUGAAAUAGCUAUAUUUUUUAUUAGCUUAAAUUAUAUCUAUGAACAACAGGCCCAUCAAACCAUCAAACGUCAAGCUUUGUAGUGAUUUCACUCCUAAAAUAUAUACAUACCGCUCUGCAUUCUCAUUAGUAGACCCGUUGGUUAAAACAAAUGGCUUCAAUUGUUAGGUAUAUUGGUGGUCUCUUCUUCCUCUCAUUCUUUAGGCAAUUCUAGACUUCUAGUUAGUAUAAAAGCAGAAGCAGGUAUAUCAUUUGUAAUUGAAUCUAACGUAGUCCCCGCUGAGUAUUGUUGAGGGGGGCCGACCGUCCUAAAUUAGUAUAAAAGCAGAAGCAGGUACAAUCUCCGUCCUAAAUUAUUUGUAUUAAAUUUAUCUGUAUACAGAUUUAUUUAAUAAUAAAACGUAUCCAGAUACAUUUGUAUGUAGACAAAUCUAAGAAAAAUAAUUUAAAACGAAGGAAGUAGUUUGUAUACUCUAAAUGUAAAAUAAUAUAUCUAUGUAGCAUACCUUUGGUUGAGAUUAGGCAGACCCACAAGCCGUGCUGUGACCUGUGAGAGGCGGAGACGUUUGCCAAUGAGUACAUCAGCAUGUAGUAGACUCAUACCAGCUGGCGGAAGCCGCACCUUCGUCGGUCAGCUCGUCACUGAUGCUGAUGGAGUGGUGGUCUGCCGCUCGAUUAAGCCCUAGCUCCGCCGCGGCGGCGGCGGCGGCGGCGGCCGCGAAAACGAUCGAGAUGGAGUUGCGCAACCAGAUGGAAAAGGAUGUGUACUGGUCCAAUCGAUAAGUAUUCUCGAGGCCUGCAGACCAGCACAUCGAACCGAUUAUAUUACGUGGUUUGUGGGCUAACAAUUGUGGGCUUGGGCUAUUCAACACUGCGUACGUAGAGAGGUCAGGCCAACGUGUUUGCUAAUGGCCAGAUAAUAAUUUAGGAAUAAACAAACUAGGCUUUUCACCUGAUAAGCAUAACGGAACCGAACGCAAAGCAAUGGCUUUUCACACUCAUGGAAACCAUGCAGCACCAUCAGUUUGUGCUCAUUGCUGUAACGUUAUGGGCAAUAUGGUCUUCUAGGCGCAAAGCAAUACAUGAGGGCAUUUUUCAUUCACCACAAGCGACUCAUUUGUUUAUCAAAAGAUUCAUAUCUGAGCUUGAUAUGUGCAAGGAAAGUCGCCCAGCAGCGCCUGCACCUUCCGCAAGAGGACCUAGACGACCACCAAAAAUACCCCCACCGGGUUUUGCAAAGAUCCAUGUGGACGCGGAAGUUCGCUCGGGUAGAAGAGGAUCAGCGGCGGCAGUCUGCAGGGAUAGACAGGGGAACUUCUUAGCAAGUUCAUCAUUGGUGAUCCAAGGUCUUGAAGAUCCAGCCACCCUCGAAGCGAUCGCAUGCCGCGAGGCACUGGCGUUAGCCGAGGACUUGCAUCUACAGAGCUUCAUUGUGGCAUCGGACUCAAGACAAGUUGUCUCAGAUAUCAACAAGGAUGUUCGGGGAAGAUAUGGUGCUAUCAUUAGUGAGAUCCGCCUUCAAGCAGAACUUUUUCAAUGUCUUUUUACUUUUGAACGUAGGGAAGUGAAUGUAGAAGCUCAUAGUUUAGCUAAAUUUUCUUUGUCUCUAGAUCCGGGACGCCAUGUCUGGUUUGGCCAAUCCCAUGAUCUAACCCGUAUCCCACAUGUUGUGGAUUUUGAUGAAUAAAGACUAGUUCUACCCCUAAAAAAAAAGAUAAUAAUUAGGAAUCCCUCAAAAAUAAUAAUAAUUAGGAAUAAACAAACUAGGCAACAUAUCCUCGUGCAAAUCCAACGUAGUCCCCGCUUAGUAUUGUUGAGGGGGGCCGACCGUAGCAUUGACGCUCGCCGCUGAAAAUAUUGCGUAUUUUUAUCCCCGUACGUGAGCCCAGUCCACCCUUGAUCUCUGCCUUUACAAAAUCUCUUCUCUUUCAUACAUCUCUACUAGCCGGCCUGUGACUUUAAUUUCUAAGUGACUAGGGUUAGUCCUUCCUGGAAGAUUUUUUAGAGCUUCGAGUUGCCGAACGAGCUGUUUGAUUUCUCUUCUAACACUCCCAAAAGUGUAUCUGUCCCAGCUAUGGAGAUGUUCCCCUAAGGCCAACUCCACCGCGCGACCCUAUUCUAUCCGGCCCCGUCCGUUUGGGGUAAAAGGGAUAAACUGGGCGGCCCAGCGCGUGGGAGCAAAUGGACUUUUGUCCGUUUUGUGUCCGCUUUCGACCCAUCGCCUGCCCAAGUUUGCGCCGCUUUUGGGGUGAAACGGACACCACGCGGACGCGCCGGCCGUCUGCGCGUGUCCUUCCCUGGCCCGCCCCUCGGUGGCACAGGGCGGGCCUUUUUCUAUCCGCCCCCUCCCUCCCUCCGGCCGCACCCCACUCCACUCUUCUCCACUCUUCCCCACCCUUUCCCUCGCCGCCGCCGCUGCCAUUGCAGCCGUGCAGCUCGGACGCGCGCUCGCCCGGCCCCUUCCCCUCGGCGCCGCCGAGCUACCCAACCACGGCCACAUGGUUUGCGCACCCGCCGGUCGGAUUUGGGGCGGAUCCGGUAGGUCUUGAGCUCGCCCGGCUGUGGGAGGCUGGGCCGCGCCAUGGACUGGCCUGCAGAUACUCGAAUGGCGGCCGGCCGGGCUCGGUGCUUGCCCAAAAGCUCAUCGGCGCACCGUUGCCACUCAUUAAGUGCAACCACUGCCCAAGGAUGGUCGUGCGCCGCGUGUCUACAACGCCGGAACAUCCCGGAUGGGUGUUCAUCAAGUGCUUAAACGAUGGGGUAUGUGCUCUUUUUAGUUUCGGUUUGUGCUCUCGGAUUAGACUAGUUGUGCUAACUUCAAAUUUUAUUGUGUAGAAUGGAUGCAAGUUUUGGUAUUGGGAAGAAGAGUACAUCGAUAUAUUGAUAGAGCGAAAUUUAGUACAUGUUCGUGCACUUUUAGCUAGCAUAGAGGCUGUAGAUGAGACAAGUGCACUUGUUCCUAGAUUAGAGGCUAGACAUGAGACUAGGUGUGAGGAAGCAACAUCGACUUCCGGCUUGAAGAAGAAAGGAGGGUGCAACAUCGAGCCUCCUCCACAGAUCAACAAUGAGUACAUCGAGAAGGCCCUAACCCAACUCAAGGGAGCAGUUAUGGAAGUUGGGUAUCUUCUAAAAUGUAUUCUUGUUGUUCUUUUUUUUUUGGCCUUGCUUUGCUAGUCAAAAUGUGAUGAUGUAUUGUCAUGUACCAAAAAUGAAUGAUAAAAAAAAUUAAGGACUUGCAAAGAAAAAAUGCGGCCGGGAUGCGGCCGCGCGCUGGGCGCACGGCCACCGCAUCCCAGGACACGCCCGGACACAACCCCAAAUCCCUACCCAAACGGACAGAAUCUGGACAAAACGGACGUCCGUUUGAAGACGCGCGGUGGAGUUGGCCCUUCAGCUUCUCCUGCAACUCUACUGCCGACGCACCUUUUGGCCUGCUGCUCCAUGUGCUUUCCACAAAAGUAUUCAGCUCAGGGUGUCGUUCCCACACAUUAGUUCAUACCUGAAGCUUUUUGGCCGCCGUUCGUCCGCAUUGUGCAUAGAGUUUAAUGUUAUUGGGCCAUGAUCAGUGCACACUGGUGCUACAUUUUCUAGUUCUGCAAAGGGAAAUAAAUAACUCCAUGCCGAGUCCGCUGCAGCCCGAUCCAGGCGCACCCUAGUGUAUGUUCCUCCCGAGACCUUCUCGAACGCCCAUCUUCUUCCUUUAUAUCCCAAGUCAGCAAGACCACAAAUAUCAAGGACAUCUCGGAAUUCAUCCAUUUUUCAUUGUCCCCUAAGAUUAACUCCUUCAUGUUCGGAUUGUGGAAGAACUUCAUUGAAAUCCCCUAGUGCCACCCAGGAGAGAUUCGACGCCCCUGCAAUGUCUCAUUGAUGAUCGGCAUUGGAGAUGCCCAUAGUACUAUUACCUCCGUUCGGAAAUACUUGACGUGGUUUUAGCUCAAAUUUAAACUAAAACCACGUCAUGUAUUUCCAAACGGAGGGAGUGCUUUUUUCUUCUUUUGACUGGAAAGGUGGGCGGUCCGACCAUUCUAGCAAGGUAGUGAAAUAGCAAAAACUGAGUAAAAGAUUCACUUAAAUGGCGCAAAGAAAAAGCAUAAGAGAGAAGAAACAUAAACUAUCCCUCCAGCGAGCGUGAGAGCUGACCGCCUCUGAUUAAUACCCAUUUUUUUGUCCAACUUAAAGUAUCACUAUUGUCCCCUUGAUAUACGUGUAAAGGCAAAAGUUCAUCUUCUUUUAUCAAUCCCAACUGCAGCCACAAACUCAAUGAUAAAAACAAAAUGAGCCACAAUUUCCAAGUUUACCAUCAAAAUCGUGGCAAAUUUGACAAAUUUGACCUAUAAACGAAAUCAAAUCACAGAAUGAACUAUCCGUGAAACUAUUUCACGCGGCUGACCUUUUUGUGUGACGCCCGUCACGAAGGCGCCACACUACACUGUGCAACGCCUCACAGAUAGUGUGGCGCCUAGCUCCUAGGCGUCGCACUAGUGCAGCGCCUAGCUCCCAGGCGUUGCACUAGUGCAGCACCUGAGAGCUAGGCGACACGGGUCAGCCGCGUGAAAUAGUUUCACAGACAGUUCAUUCUGUGAUUUGAUUUCGUUUAUAGGUCAAAUUUGUCAAAUUUGCCGAAAUCGUUGCGAACACUUCCAUUGCAAAUAGAAGUUCAUGCAUCAAAAAACAUCGUAUAAAAACCAACAGCAGUAGGUUCAUUAUGCAUCCCAUGGCUCUACAAUAAUGCGAAAACCAGCUCACCACACAACCAAACACAUGACAUGAAAUCAUCACAAACGAGGAUCUAGAGGGCAGAACACUACAGCUAUCAACUGGCCAACCUCUCCAUCUUCUCUCCUUACAUCUACUAAUUUAACCCGAAGCAGACAAUAGCCAACGGAGCGGCCAACCAGACCAGCCAAUGGCACCCAGCACUGGCCGGCCGGCCAGAAGGGUUACAGCCACAAACCUUCGUUUGCAAGCCAAGCCGAGACCCUCAACUCUCAACUUUGAAGUCUUCAACUCCAAGUACUAGUACUAUAUAUAACCCCUCAAAUGAUCUCUCCUCCUCCACCCAAGAUCACAAGCCUGACAACAUCGUCAUUUCUCUUCCAGCACCAGAAUAAUCCUUGGUAGCUCGGUGCAGCAGCAUCCUUCCCGGAGCAAGCAGAUGGCGCCAACUCUGAAGCUCAGGAUCCUCGCAGCGGCUGCCGCUGCCGCCGUCAUGGUCAGCACGGCCUCCGCGGCCGACGGACCAGCUCCCGCGCCAGCCUCUGGCGCGUCGGCGGCCGCCCCGACUGUCGCCAUGGCGUCCUUGACCGCACUCCUCUUUGGCUACUUCUUCUGAGGCAUUAGACGAAGUGCGUCGUGCGCACAAUCAUUUGGUAUCUUUCUUUGGUCGUCUCAUGUUCAUACAUGAUAUGAGUACAUAUUGUAAAUUUACAUGUUCAUUUUUCAUUUUCUAAUGAAAUUUUUUUUGGGGUACAUGCACUUGUAGCCGUAACUUAUCGGUUAUGUUGAUUUUACUUUGUCGGCUCGAACAAUCGCACAGUGCGUGUCCUCUGCUUAGGGAAACCCAGAUGAAAUUCCUCGAUUUUGAACGAUUUCCAGACAAAUAUAAAAAUAAAGUUCUUCUUGAUGCCGCUCUGUCUACCGUGAUGUAACUCCGGAAUGUAUCUGCGGAGACCCUAUGUUAUGAUGUCAUUUAGUCAAUGAAGUGCCAUAUUUGAAUAAACCAAACAUUUCGUCAAACACUCAUCAACGUCCUCUAUCACGGCCCAAUACGAAUCAAUGCUUCCACGCUGUGUUUGUAGAGGAGGUAGCCUACGCGGUGAUGGAAAGCAAGGCGACAACGAAAGCUGGGUUGGCGGCAAGGUUGGCCCCAUACACUGGCGCGUGGGUGGGCGCUUCAGCCGUUGAGGCUGUCCCGACCAGGGAGAGCAACUGCCGCUGCUGCAUCGAUGAGCCUCAACUAAAGUGGCCGCUGCUGCAUCGAUGAGCCUCAACUAAAGUGGCCGCCAUGCAUCUUGGGACAAAGUAACUUCCGCAAACAAACUUGAUCGAAAUGUUAGGAAGAAGAGGUGACAAGAAAGGGCUAGAGAGAGGAUUAUGUGCGUGUUGUGCAUUUUGACACAAAGAGAGUGACAUAUAUAAGUGCACGGGUGAUAAUUUGUUUUGGUAGGGCAGGCUGGAGUAGGAAUUAACAAGGGGGUUUCAUGGCUGGUGCUUAGCUCCUGGCCGCCUUUGCUUUAUUUUCAAGUCUAGUGUGCCAGUAACGAUGAGUUGUCGGUGUAUAUCUUUAAGCCGGUCCUGAGUUGGUUUGGCGAUGUUGAUUAUCUGAUUAGUGAUUGUCUUCUACAGAGAAAUGAUUANNNNNNNNNNNNNNNNNNNNNNNNNNNNNNNNNNNNNNNNNNNNNNNNNNNNNNNNNNNNNNNNNNNNNNNNNNNNNNNNNNNNNNNNNNNNNNNNNNNNNNNNNNNNNNNNNNNNNNNNNNNNNNNNNNNNNNNNNNNNNNNNNNNNNNNNNNNNNNNNNNNNNNNNNNNNNNNNNNNNNNNNNNNNNNNNNNNNNNNNNNNNNNNNNNNNNNNNNNNNNNNNNNNNNNNNNNNNNNNNNNNNNNNNNNNNNNNNNNNNNNNNCCCUAGCCGCCGCCGGGGCCUAGCUCAUCUUCCUCCCUUCCUCCCGCCGCCGCCGGAGGACGCCGCCGGCGGUGGCGGGGGCCCUUCCUCCCUCCCGCGUCUUAGGGGUGGCGGGGCCCCAACAUGCGUGGAGGUGCGGCUGAUCUAGAGCAACGGCGAUGACUUCGACGGCGGUGGUGGUCGGCCUGGCCUCGGCCACGGGCGGCUCCUUGCGGCGGCUGGCCUGGAUCGGGCGGCGGCGCGAUGCGGUCUUCGGCGAUAUGUCAUCUGGCCUUAGAUCGGCGACGGCGUCGAGGGCCUGGUGGACUGCUUGGCGGCACCUCUGGCAGAUCUGUUCUGGCCGGUGUAGCCAGUGGUGGUGGUCAUCUUCUUCGUCGGAGGUGGCCGGCCAGAGGGUUGGUGAUCGGAUCUCGAGAUCCAUCAUCUAGUCCCGGCUGCGAGUUGGGGAGACAUGGUUGCCGGUGAAAACCGAGCCGACGGCAGGCGAUGGCGGCGUUCUACGCCAUUACCUUGAUGAAGGCAUCGUCGCGUAACUAUUGUUGACCUACUCGUGCUGCUCCGGGGGAAACCCUAGGAUCUGGUGUUCCAGAUCGGACGAUGGCGGCACUGCGGUGUCGUUUCUCUCUUGGGAGCAUCGUUUGUGGAGCAGCGCUGCAAGUCAGAGGCAGGAGGUGGAGCGGCUUCAUCUUGCAAGGAGCUUCGGUGGAGAUGUUAAGUCAUGCCUGACCGACAGGUGCUGCGCUUUGUCAUGCCUGGUCGGCAGGUGCUACGCACGACAGAUCUUCCAAAGACUUCAAGCUGUGUCGGCUGGUGGUACUUGGCAGCAUGGUGCUGAGGUGUAUCAGUGGCGACCGCGAAGUGCUCAGCUGUUUGCGCGUAGGGAGGAGAUGCCGUUGGGCGCCGUGGUGGCGUCGACGAUAGCUGGACCGAGUAAGGUUGAUGCAUCAGUACAGUUCUGAAGAUGGAGCGGUGACAGUUGGCGGCGGCGGCCUCUGAGAGCACGCCGGACAGGUGAGUGACCCAUACCCGGCAGGCGUCCUGGAUGGGAGCUCAGGUCUUAGAUGUUAGGUUUGGCUGCGAGGUCCGUUUGGUAUUAGGCCGAGACUAUCAGCAUCCCUUCAUCAAUUGGAUAGGAGUAGCGACAGAUGUUGCCUAGACGAUGGCUUUAGUCUUAUUGUUGUAUUACUUUGUAAGGUCUUAUGUGAACAAUUAAUAAAAAUGGCUGUAUGCAUCAUCCAGAUGCAGAGGCCGGGGGUCUUCCUCCUUUUUGAAAAAAGAGAGAAAUGAUUAGUUGUGAGGCGGCUGCUGCUGCAAAAUUAUUUGAGCAUUUAGUGCAAAGGAUGUGUCAAUAUGUUACUGAGUUCUUCCACGUCUUGUUGUCUCAAUGUGUAUUUUCGUUUUGGUAUUUUUGAAGGCAGAUGAAUGCACAAAGGGAUGAACCCGAAAUACCCAACAACUUCUCCACCGAAGUUGCAUAUUUUCCACACUAAAACAAAACAUGAAGUUGCAUGUGCUUCUCUAUUUCAUGAAUGAUGAUAAAACUAUGAAAACCCAUACAUCACAAGAUCGCGACGGACGAACCUAACUACAUAUCGUACUAAUACAGCGACGGAGCCAGCAGGGUCCGAGUUGGGGCCAUGGUUCCCCCGCCCCCAUGCGGGAAAAAAAAUCCGCAAACUAGGGCUAUAAAAUAUGUGAAUUUAUGGACUUAAUCUUUAAAUUUAUAUGUAUGUCCCCCGUCAAUGCUCAACAUAUUUCAAUGCCCCUCCCCCCGGGCCUUAAACUUCCUGGCUCCGUCCCUGGUGGUGCGGUGGUGGAGUUGUGGGGUAGGAAAUUAAGAGCUUUUAACUACAUGGAAAAGUAGCCCCCAUCAAAGAAAGAAAAAAUAUGGAUUUAUUUUAUGAUUAUUUAGAAAUCAGAAUUAAUUAAUAAUGUACAAUAAAGUAGAUAAAGUACAAAAAAACAUAUGCUAGUAUGGAGAUACAUAUUUUACUCAUAUUUGAGCCGUGGUAUUAGUUAUUGAGUUGAUUGCUUGGGUAGUGUAUAGCAGCAAGGAUUUUUUUUACUAAGGUACGUCUCUCGGCCCUAGGUGCCCGGGGUUGGCGAAACCCAUGAGUCCACCCACCGUGGGUUCAAAUCCUGAUGCUAAUAUUUAUACGGUAUAUGGGUCUUCCAUAUAGUAUUUUUAUCAAAAUAAAUUACAUAGUCGGUGGUGUAAACUUGCACAUAGUGUGCCAUGCAUAUCGCCAUCACCAUGUCCAUAUUGUCAGAUAAACCAUAUGGAACGUGCAUGCAAGGCACCAACUAUUCAUAGCUUGGUCAUACUUCUCAAACACUAAAGCGUACACAUUCGAGUGGUUGAAUCAUUGAUAAUACGAUAUACGUCGGUGACCAUCUCUCCUCUAUAAAUACUUAGAAGGAAUCAUAGUGUGCUUGUAGGAAGAUAUGUAAAACUGAGAACGAUGACGAUUGACGAAUACCAAACGGCAUCGAGUCACCAAAACAUGUUCCGUUGGGGAAUGGGAUGCACUGGGAAUUCGAGCUAGAGAAGAGAAUUGGUUGGUAGCUCAUUUUCACCGAUGCUACUUCUAGGCCAAGACUAUUUUGGUGUGUCAGUGAGAGUCAGCAUGUGGGCUGCUCUCAAAGGAUCCACUGCACGGGAAAAGGCUCCUACAUGAGUUCUCGCAUCUGUGUUUUCAUUUGAGUAGCUACUCUUUGUUGGUACAAUAUUGAUCAACUAGACAUGAUUUAAUCCUCGCCAAAGGAAAGGUAGAUGUGGUCUGUUGAGCCCGCCGCAUGGGUGAUUGGAGCUUUGUUGCCAUGACAUGUGCAUCCAUCGUGUAGCUCCAUGAGACUAAGUUGUGGGAUGUAUCUCCUGUUUUGGUAAUAGAAGACUUAUGUUAGAAUAAAUCCGAGGCAUACCGUCGAUCAUCUGAGGACCAAGCAAUCACACGAGCACGACACUGAGAUUUGUUAACGAGGUUCACCGAUGUGGCUACAUCUCCGGGGCUUGACUACGGGUGCUCCUCCCCGUGACACCGUCACAAUACCGCACCCCGGCCACCCGGGCGCCGGCACACGCCGCCGGCUCCUCUUUUCGUGCCUGUGCUAUUAUGUUGGCAUAUGUUACGUCGUGUGUCUAUCCCCGCUAUAUAUGAGAGGUCUAGGAUACAAGUGUCCCAUUUGGGCACGAUUCCAUAUCCUAUCUAAACAUAAUACAACUCAGAGUCCAACUGUAACCUACCUUGUACACUAUAUUCGACACAACUCUAACAAACUCCACCUUGGCGAAUAUUAUCCACCACCUUGAGUCCGUCCAUGUGUCAAACUUCCAUGUACAUUGGACUUGAGUUUAUCCCAUGAGCACCGCUGCUACUCCAAAGACUCCAUAUGACUCCACCUGCAACUUGUAGUCCCUUCUUUUGUUAACCACAGUCAACGUUGGAGCAAAAUUAAGUUCCUCUUUACUCUAGUCUGUGCUCCCAACUUCCAGAGUAUCCGUCCAACGCCAUCACACACCGAUCACUGACCUGCGUGAAAGUGAACAACACACAUAUUGGGUGUCACACAUAAGAGUUACCUGAACUCAACAUCACCGCUCCUUUCUUGACCGUCUGUCUGAAACUUGAAAGAAUUUCACCAUUGCUUGUAGUCAUCCAGAGUCAAAUUCACAGUUGUCUCACCACAUGUAUGACCACCAGAGCCCUGGCCCGUCUCCAUGCCUCCCGUGCAUACCACACGUCUCGCCGUUAUUACCGCGUCGAGCCUCCACUGUCCUGGUCGAGCCUCAAGGGUCGCAAGACCCACACCACUCCACCUCUACUGCAGAGUACCACCGAUCAUCACCGACCGAUGACGAGUUUCACGCUUCCAUCUGAUCACUGGGCUCCAGUCCGAGCUGCAUGUCACCCGCUUUUCCCCCUUGCUGAGUAGGCUUCGAUUCCCUGGAUCCUUACAUCGUAGCCCUUCAAUCCAGCUCCACCUUCAACAAGACUCAAUGGUAGAUGAUCCGUCUACCCUCGCGCCCCGUCGACUUCAAGCUCACAUGUGCACUGUCUUGAAUCAACCCCACACCAUAGUCUUGUCAAAGCCGCACAAGCCCUCGGGGCCUGCACCACGUGUUUCCACGCCCAGAAGUCGGUCACCAUCAGCAUCACGCUCCUAUGUCGUCGUCGCUGAUCCCACCACCGUCUUCUGUACCAACCGAUUUGCGUUGAUCCCGUCAGACUGCCUAGUCCGACCCAGCCGAACUUGUCCGGCUACAUGACACGCUCAAGGCUCCCAAAUCGUCUUCGGCGAAUUUCCAUCCAUCACAUGAUAAUUCCAUCCCCGCUGACAUGACUUCCCACAACGCCUUCAAGCAUCCCUGUUGUGCCAACAAGUCUUUCACCCUUGCCUGCCAUAACCCAAGGUUUUCAGUCCCGUCGAACUUCUCCACCUCAAACCUGGUACCCGAUGGUGCCACAGUUCUUUGUACGGCUGAACCUGCGAAAAAUAUCUAAGAUUCUUACCACGAUGCACAAGUACACACAGCAUGCACAGUAGCAAAUCCAACCAAAAAUUGGCCUUCACGUGGUGUCUCCUGGCUCAAUCCCCAACGCUGGCUAGUUGCUUCCAAUGCCUCCUGAUGGACGUACUGCUUGCCGAUUCGAUCUGGCUGCCUUGCGUGGCACAUGAGGACGCGGUCCUCCUUUUUUUUGUCUCAAAAAAAAUCUCCGGUCUCUAAUCUUGCCUGCUGUACGCGACCAUAUCCAACACGAUCCGCCGCUUGGUCCGUGUCUCGCCGCCUGCAGCUUUGCGUUCCGCCAGCUGGGCCGGUGCCCAGCACACGCCUUUGGGCCUCCGCAGCCAGCGCCCGUCGACCGAUUGAUCGAUUUGCUGCCUCCCUGCCCUGCGCGACGCGUCACCGCUGCUACCUGUACGCUUGCCCGAUCAAACCAAGAUCGCCGUACGUCGAGCCGUCAUCACAAAAUUCCACUGAUCGCUGCAACACGGCGAGAUCGCCACGUAACUCUUCUGAUUUGCUUUCUCCGAUCACGCUGAGAACCACGCCAACCUGUGCAUCUCAGACUUGAUCUUCCUCUAAAUCAACAUUCCAUAGCCUUCGAACAACAUAGCUCAUGAUACCAUUUGUUAGAAUAAAUCCGAGGCAUACCGUUGAUCAUCCGAGGACCAAGCAAUCACACGAACACGACACCGAGAUUUGUUAACGAGGUUCACCGAUGUGGCUACAUCUCCGGGGCUUGACUACGGGUGCUCCUCCCCGUGACACCGUCACAAUACCGCACCCCGGCCACCCGGGCGCCGGCACACGCCGCCGGCUCCCCUUUGCGUGCAUGUGCUAUUAUGUUGGCAUAGGUUACGUCGUGUGUCUAUCCCCACUAUAUAUGAGAGGCCUAGGAUACAAGUGUCCCACUUGGGCACGACUCCAUAUCCUAUCUAAACAUAAUACAACUCAGAGUCCAACUGUAACCUACCUUAUACACUAUAUUCGACACAACUCUAACAACUUAGACACGUAUUUUGAUGGUUAUUUCUGCUUGCUGGCUGUCGAGACGAGGGACAACAUCUUUGUGGCUAGGAAGAGUUGCACGAUUGGAUUCAGCAAUGUGCACUCAUAGGACAACUGCAUUAUGGCUUUAGUCAUCCCAUCCUUUUGUGGACCACAUUUUUUUUAGAACGAAGACGCACGAACGCGUCCGGCUUUAAAUUAAUAAAGCCACAGCGGCAGCGUGAACAAGUCAUAUUACAACCCCACAUGCCUACCCGGCCAGCGCAAAAGGAUCAUCGAAAGAUUCAUGCGCGACUCAACCGAACCGAAGACAAAUUACAUGGCAUAGCCCGUACAGAGCGCGCAGGCUCGUCAAGCAACAAAAGGGACCAUGGACAGCACCAUAGUCAAGGCUCCCUAGCCAUCACGUAAACUUGCAGCAAACGUUGUUGAGCGGUGUUGAUCAACUCAGUAUCCCUGCGCCUCCCCAACGGACUCCACUGCUGUAAUAGAAGGUUGCAUUUGAAGAGGAUGUUAGCCGGAUGCGAAGGAAAGCAACCCUCAAUAGUAAAUUUGUUUCUAGUAAGCCAUAUAGACCAGAGAAGUGCCCCUACACAACUCCACCUCACCCGUUUAGCACUCCCGUGAAUCGUAUCUAAAAGGUGAGUAAGCUCUGCGGCCGAUCUGGGAUCCCACUGAACACCAGCCGCGGUCCGGACCGCGCUCCAAGCAAAUCUAGCAAGGGAACAUCUAAAGAACACGUGGCUGGCGUCCUCAGGCUCCCCACACAACGCGCAAGGGCCAGUGGCCGGCCCAUUGCGUUUGGCCACAUUUAAGGAGGUCGGCAGCUUAUCGCGAAACAAUUGCCACAUGAAGAGUUUGAUCUUCAAGGGCAACCGCGCUUUCCAUAGCCCAGCGAUCGCCUGCUGUGCCGUCCCUCGGCACAACUUACGGUACAAUGAGUUAGCCGAGAACUUGCCAGAACUGGUGAGCGCCCAGCUGACCGUAUCUGGUUCGUCCGCAAGGGUGAUCGGGUUAAUAAGGUGCAUCAGAGCCAAGAGAUUGGUCUGCUCUAACCCGUUUAGUUCUCGUUUAAAAUAGAUCACGGGAGGACUAGCCGCGAGCGCAGCCGCCACCGUGAUGGAUGGAUCGACGGCCAACUCGUACAAAUCCUGGAAUUCCAUCCAGAGAGGUUGGGCUCCCAGCCACCUAUCCGUCCAGAAUCGGGUCGAGCGUCUGUUCCCAAUCGAAAAUUUCGCCCCCAUGGCGAACGCCGGUUUGACCGACUGCAAGUCAUUCCAGAAGGGGGAGCCCCGUGCCCGCCCUUCGAAAAAAUUUCCACCUGGAAAGUACUUGGCCUUGAGGAGAUCAGCCCAAAGACCUGAAGCACCUUGGGCGAUUUUCCAAAUCCACUUACACAUCAAGGCGAUGUUUAAGAGUCUGGAAUUGGUGAUCCCGAGGCCCCCCAAGGCCUUGGGCCGACACACCCUAGCCCAUUUAACCAUAUGAUAUUUACGGUUUGGGCUGGUUCCUUCCCAAAAGAACUUGGCUCGGGGCGUGUCGAACUUCGCAUGAACCCCUUCUGCGAGAAGAAACAAACCCAUGGCAAACAUCGGCAAGGAGGAUAGACUGGAAUUCGUAAGAAUGAGUCUAGUCGCCUUGGAGAGGAAUUUGCCUCGCCAGGGGCACACCCUCCCGCGCACCUUGCCGCACAGCGGAUCCCAAUCCUCUAUCGUGGGUCGUUUGGUAUCAAUCGGUAGCCCGAGGUACGUAAAGGGAAAUUUUCCAACUUUGCAAUUAAACAAAUCCGCUAUACGUCUACCCUCGUCCGGCUCCACCCCCAUCGCAAUCAACUCACACUUGUGAAAGUUGAUUUUGAGACCGGACAUGAGCUCGAAGCUAAUGAGAAUCUCCUUGACCGAAGCUAUACUCUGAAGGUCCGGGCGAAACAUCAAAAGCGUAUCAUCCGCAUAUUGCAAAUGAGUCACUCCCCCUGGAAUGAGAUGGCCUACCAGCCCUUGGAUAUGGCCAGCCGCCGCUGCUUUCGAUAGCAUAGCGGACAACGCGUCAACAAUAAAGUUGAACAGCAGCGGUGACAUCGGGUCGCCCUGCCUAAGGCCGCGUUUGUUCCUGAAGAAAUGCCCUAUUUCUCCAUUCACCGACACUUCAGUUUGGCCACUCGAGACCAAUUGCAAGACACGAUGAACCCACACCGCGGAGAACCCACGACCCAAGAGCACUUGGCGCAGGAAAUCCCAAUUUACCCGGUCAUACGCCUUCUCGAAGUCUAGCUUCAGCAGAACGGCUGGUUCCUUCGUGCGUUUAAGCUCGUGAACAAUCUCCUGGAGAGCGAGCGGACCCUCCAGGAUAUUACGCCCACGAAUAAACGCGGAUUGGUUACGGUGGAUCGAGCGUUGGGCAAUCGGACCUAAUCGCGUAGCGCUCGCUUUGGCGCAGAUCUUAAAAGGCACAUUAAUCAACGCAAUCGGGCGAUACUGUCUAAUGUUGUCAGCCCCCUGAACCUUCGGAAUGAGCGAGAGCACUCCAAAGUUAAGGCGGGAAAUAUCUACCUGGCCCCGCAUGAAACCGUUACAUAUCUCGAAGAUCGGCCCUCUAAGGGUGGGCCAAAAUCGCUUAAACAUAGCAACCGGCCACCCGUCCGGUCCCGGUGCUGUGUCCACUUUCAUCCCCAUGAGAGCGGCGUCGAUUUCUUCAGGGAGAAACGCGAGCCCCAACUCGUCGUUCUCUGCUUCUAGAACGCGUUGGGAUCCCUCCCACACGUCCUCACGAAGGCCCGCUCCCUGGGCCUCACUUGUUCCCAUCAGGUUGAUGUAGAACUCGUAAAUGUGUCGCGAAAUGUCUUCUUGGCGCAACAAGAGCCCCUGCUCCGAUUGAAGCCUGAGUAUAGCGCAUUUACGACGCCGACCGUUGGCGUAUGCCUGGAAAUACUUGGUAUUGGCGUCACCCUUAAGGGUCCAUUUUAGCCCACUACGCCGCCGCCAGUAUCCUCCUCCGCGCGAAGUAGGGCUUCGACCUGCCCCUCAAGAGCGUAUCGAUGAGCCCACUCCUGCUCCGAGAAAACACGAGCAUCAGCUUGCGCAUUGAUCCUGGCGAUCUCGUUCGUGAUCAGCGUUCUGUGCUCCUUGUCCAUCCUCCCUAGGUUGGCGCCCCACCCCUUGAGGCUCGCUCUCAAUCGGCCCUCGACAGCAUUCCAGAAUUCCAUCGGGCCACGUUGGGGUCCGACCUGCUGCACGCACGCUAGCCAUUUCUCUUUGAAGAGCGACUUGAAGCCUGGCACUUCAAACCAGGCCGUUUCAAAGAAAAACCGCGGGCUGCGUCUCAGCCUAUCCUCCCCCGAGGAGUAGACUAGCGGGACGUGGUCUGAUCCAAUCCGUGUCUCAGCGACCAACGCGCACAUAGGAUAGCCCAUUUCCCACUCCGGCGACAUAAACACCCUGUCAAGCACCGAACGAACCGGCGCAAGCUGCUUAUUAGUCCAAGUAAAGUGCGCGCCCGUUCUGGCCACUUCCCUAAGUGCCAUGGCGGCAAUAGCCGCAUUGAACAUGGCCACCCUCGGCCAGUUAAUGAUGCCAUUAUUCUUGUCGGCUCCGGACCUAAUUAGGUUGAAUCCCCCCCCCCACGAGGACCGGGAGUGCCGCGGCAGUCACCGUAGUGACUUUCUGUUGGAGUUCUCCCAAGAACUCCGCCGAUCUGGAAUGAUUGGCAGGUCCAUAGACCUGAAUAACUACUAACUCGCGAAGCGUAGCACGAAUGCGAAAAUGAGCAGCUAAGAAGAAAGAGCCCCUAUCCCAGUUGAUAAUUUCAUACGCAUCGCGGCUUAGACCCAUCAACAUGCCCCCCGAGCGCCCUAACGCGGGAGUAAAGUGCCACUCAAAACGUUCUAACGGAUCUAGCGAAAGCAGCUCAUGGAAGCAGAAAUCCGUCUUAAUAGUUUCCUGCAAACCUACGAUGUCCACGUCCUCUUUGCGCAUGUACUCUUUGAGGAGGGUGCGCCGACCCUUGUGGCCAAAGCCACGGAUAUUCCAAAACAACGCUCGCAUCUAAAUGACACGAUUGCGAAGCAGUCCACCCCUAGAGGUGACCGCUUUCGCCACGCGCCUCACCUUGCCCCUGCAAGGCGAGGGAGAAGGGGCAACCCCUGUUGCCUGUCCCUCCUCCUCGGGCACAGAAAGAACCGCGAUGGCCCCUCCCUUGGGGCCCUCCGUCCUCUGUUCGGCACGCGCUGCAGCAGCAGCCGCAAGCGCGGCCUGCGCCAACUCCUUAGCGCGCACCAGAGUAAUCAGCUCUCGUUGACCACCCACACAAGCGGGGUCGACACCACUUGCAUCUAACACCUCCAUCANNNNNNNNNNNNNNNNNNNNNNNNNNNNNNNNNNNNNNNNNNNNNNNNNNNNNNNNNNNNNNNNNNNNNNNNNNNNNNNNNNNNNNNNNNNNNNNNNNNNNNNNNNNNNNNNNNNNNNNNNNNNNNNNNNNNNNNNNNNNNNNNNNNNNNNNNNNNNNNNNNNNNNNNNNNNNNNNNNNNNNNNNNNNNNNNNNNNNNNNNNNNNNNNNNNNNNNNNNNNNNNNNNNNNNNNNNNNNNNNNNNNNNNNNNNNNNNNNNNNNNNNNNNNNNNNNNNNNNNNNNNNNNNNNNNNNNNNNNNNNNNNNNNNNNNNNNNNNNNNNNNNNNNNNNNNNNNNNNNNNNNNNNNNNNNNNNNNNNNNNNNNNNNNNNNNNNNNNNNNNNNNNAGAUUUCCAUAUUCUUCUGGGCCUGAAGAAGUUGCGCCCGCUGCAAGGAAGGCAUGUUGCCCUUGGCUCCCUUGGAGCGCGAGCUCGUGCGCACCGGCACCGCCGACACCGUCUUGGUACGUUUGGCCUUGGAGCUCCGCGCCAUCAAGGAGGCCUCCUGCAGCAGCGGAUCAACGACCGGAGGAGCCGUCGGGGCCGCCAAUGCCAUGACGGACUGCCUUGGGGUGGGGGGAGCACCAAGAGGAUGCAUUGCGCGCACCGUCUCCGCGCUGACCUUGCGCACCGCCAUCUUCUUCAUCAUCUUCACUGAGCCACUGAGGGAUUUGCCGCGACCACCCGAAGCCGGCGACCUACCUAGAAUCAUGCGCGAAGGGCUGGGAGAGAGGGCGAUCGGAGAGCGUGCACCGCCCGCACCUGCUGGUCUCGACGGGGCCGCAACCAUGGGUGGAGAGGACACCGACCCCAGGUUGGACCCGUAUUGGUUGGGCACCGAAAGCACCAUCUCAGCAGAGCCCAUCCCCACAUCAGAAUGAGGCACCUCCAUCCCCUCCGCUGGCGCCGUAGCACCAGCCGCAGAGAUCCCCAGUUUGUCCCAAGCAGCCGUAUCAAUGGAAUCAUCCUCCUCCACACUCGCAUCUGGCUCCGGAUCCUUGCCCUUGUCCUUGGUCCUGUCUUUGUCUUGGUCACCCGGAUCCCCUCCGCUGGGUGGAGGGGGAGGGGGGAGAGCAGGGGCCGCUGGGCGCGGGGCAGCAAGCUCCGGCUCGAGCUUAACAUUGUACCCAGCCCCAUUGAACCAGAUCUGCACUGAACCUCGCAGCUUUGCCGGCGCCCGGCACACAAAGAGCAUGCGCACCGAACCCGCCCGGAUCAGGGACAACUCGUCCACCACCAGCGGGCGCCCAAUCAUCGUCGUCGCCGCCAUCAGCCUCUCCACCCGACGCUGCUUCGGCGGAAUGCCCCAGAGCUUCACCCACACCUCCGGCAUCGACAGCGCCUUGGGCUCAGUGAGAGCAGCGUCCCGGAUAUCGGCCGUGAUAUUGUUGAUGGAGAGGAAAAGCUUGCCACUGCGCGUCGCCAUCCUCAGCAUGGCCGGAUCGGGAAAAGCCACCGAGAAGGAAUCAGCGUCAAAGGGGGUGACCAUCCAAUCCCACUCGCCCUCGAAGAGAUGCGUGAGCUCCUUCUCCAGAAUCUCCUUGGACAGAACCCCCGGCUCCGCCGAGACCAGCGCCGCGUUGGCCCCUAACGAGCCCUCCGACGCCGCGUCCGCCUCCGCGGGGUAUUGAAGGCAGAAGAAGCCCCCGCCCGCGAACGCGUGCCCCAUGGAUUGGAGCAUCAUGGGCUUGCCGCGCGAGGGGCAGUAGGCCGAGGCAUGGCCCUCUUGGCUGCAGAUGACGCAGAGUUGCUUGAAGGUGCACUCGUUUUGGUAGUGUCCCGUGCGCCCGCACCGAAAGCACUCCGGCCCCUCCUCCACUUCGACAGGUAUAGGUUCCGCCGCCGUGUCCUUGGAAGAAGAAGGCUUCGACGGCUACUUCAUCGCGGGCUUGUGCUUCUUCAUUUUCUGCUUGGCGUAGGGGUCUCCAACGCGGUCGCCACCGGGCGGAAGGAGCGACUCCUUGCGCUUGAGCUCCAGCCCCUUUCUCUUGUGGACCACAUUGGUGGUUGACUUGCAUCUAUGGGCCGCUGGAGGGCGUGAACAAGGUUGCUUUCCUGGACGAGUUGUGAGAGGUGCGACCUGUCCUGUCGUACUCCUGAGUUGUCUGCGGUGACUUCAAUAUGAUAUAUAGCAAUGAGCACGAGAUCAAUGAAAACCUCCAUGACCGCAUGAUCGGGAGAUUCCACCGCUUCCUAAAUGAUUGUGAGCUCAAAGAGUUGUACUUUCAUGGUCGGUGAUACACAUGGUCCUGUGAACAUGGUGCUCCCUGGUUGGUCAGGCUUGACAGAGUGGUCUGCAUGGUGGACUGGGAGCAGCUGCAUCCUAGCUGCUCGAUGUAAUAUCUCUCCACCAUUAUCUCUGACCACUACCAGUCUACCACCUUCUCCUAGACUGCAUGCCGUGACCACCAAUGAUGAGAAAAACAUCAUUAUGCAUCCCAAAAACAUCAUGUCAAAAACCAACAGCAGUAGGUUAAUUAUGGAUCCCAUGAUUGUACUAUAAUGCGAAAACCAGCUCACCACACAACCAAACACAUGGCAUGAAAUCAUCACAAACGAGGAUCUAGAGGGCAGAAUACUACAGCUAUCAACUGGCCAACCUCUCCAUCUUCUCUCCUUAAAGCUACUAAUUUAACCCCAAGCAGACAAUAGCCAGCGAAGCGGCCAACCAGACCAGCCAAUGGCACCCAGCACUGAGCGGCCGGCCAGAAGGGUUACAACCACAAACCUUCGUUUGCAAGCCAAGUCGAGACCCUCAACUCUCAACUCUGAAGUCUUCAACUCCAAGUACUAGUACUAUAUAUAACCCCUCAAAUGAUCUCUCCUCCUCCACCCAAGAUCACAAGCCUGACAUCAUCUUCAGUUCUCUUCCAGCACCAGAGUAAUCUUUGGUAGCUCGUUGCAGCAGCAUCCUUCUAGGAGCAAGCAAAUGGUGCCGACUCUGAAGCUCAGGAUCCUCUCCGUGGCUGCCGCCGCCUGCGUCAUGGUCAGCACGGCCUACGCGGCCGAUGGACCAGCUCCGGCCCCGGCCUCCGGCGCCUCAGCGGUCGCCCCGGCUGUCGCCAUGGCGUCCUUGACCGCACUCGUCCUCGGCUACUUCUUCUGAGGACAUUAGACGACGUGGGUCGUGCGCACAAUCAUUUCAGAACUUUCUUUGGUUCUUCUCGUGUUCAUACAUGAUAUGAGUACAUAUUGUAAAUUUGCAUGUUCGUUUUUCAUUUCAAUAACAUUUGUUGGGGCACAUACUUGUAGCUGUAACUGAUCUUCCCGCAAAAAAAAAACCCUGUAACUGAUCGUUUCUGUUGAUUUGACUUUGUUGCAUAUCCUGGUUCAGUCUUUCAAAUUUCAACUUGUCUAUUGCGGUGCCUUAGUUUCUCGAGCAAUUCACCCAGCUUCUUAGACAAACCAAGAUGAAAUUCCUCCUCGCAAAAAAAUGAAAGAAAGAUGAAAUUCCUCAAUUUCGAAUGAUUGCCAAAGAAAUAUUAAAAAAAAUACGCCGAAGCUUCCAAGCUAAUCAAGACUACCUGUUAGUAAAUACAAAUACAAGACAUUUUUUUCUUGAAAAGGGGGCAUACGCGAGGCUUCUGCAUCAUUUGGAUGCACACAACCAUUUAUAUUAAACAAAGUGCAAGCCAAAUGAUCCCAACAUUGAGUACGUUGAGUUCUUGAAAUCAAAUAAUGUGUUAGCUGCGCUGGUUGUUAGCUGUCUCCAGGGCUUGAAAUAUUUAUUUUAUCAUUUGUCGACCCCAACAGUUUCACCAGCUCGCAACAGCUGGUUGCUAAUUCAACUUUCAAAAAUUUCUGGGUCAAUCUUAAAUCUUUGUAAAUGUUCCUUGAAGUAGUAUUAAGCCCGCUUUAUGAAUAAAGCUAAACGACCAAACCGAUUCAAGGUGAUGAGAAAAUCCUUUUACAAAGCAGGUCAAUGAAAAAAAUGACAGACGAGCGAAUAGCGAAAACGCCACCAACUCAAAGUCGAGUAUGAAUACGUGGCUAGCCACACCCCACGAAAGCACUCGAGACUAUCGACUAGGAAUGAAACUGUGCGUCCUCGAGAAACCAUCGGACACCGUUGCACCACACAGACUAAGCUAUUGCCGGAGAGUGCCACCUGCCCUCUCGCUCCGGACCGCUUAGCGCCGAUCCUGCUUGCGGAUAGCGAGGACUGUGAUGUCACAUGUAGAAGGCACGAGACAAACACCCUACUAAGUAUGACUGUCCAAGAAGGCAUUGCCAUGGUAGAACGAAGUGUUGUUUCUUUUAAAUAGACUAUCCCACUUUUAUCUUGGACCACUUAUUUGUCAUUUUGAAUGGUGACCAAUAUACCUGCCUUUAGUAAAUAAGAUAAAUUUAGGAAGUUUCCAUGGGUGCAUGCCAAAGUUUAGUAAUUUUGUUUUCUAAAAAACAUGGCAAAUUUAGGGAUUUUCCAAGCUACAUAAGAUAAAUUUGCCACACUUCCAAUAAUUGCCAAUGGUGUAUACAAAUGAAAGAUAUGGUAGAGUGAACUUUUCAUAGAAUCUACAAUAAAAAAUACCAGGGUGAAUACAGAAAAUUUGCCGUGGUCCAGUUCGAACAGAAUACAACCCUAGAAAAUAUUCAAGAAAAACUAGAUGGGAUGAUGCCAUGAUGCUAAAAAAUACAUCACAACGAUACACUAAAUUUGCAAUGAUACUAAAAAAUAGAUCAGGGGAAAAUGUGAAUAAAAUUGCCAUGAUGCAUACACACACUACUUGGCGUAAUGCAAAGAAUACAUCAUGGCAAAAAUCUGUCUAAAAUUGCCAUGCUGCACACACAUUACUUGGGGUAAUGCAAAAAAAAAAGUUUACGCAAAUUGUUUUUGCAUGUUGCAAAAAUGUAUGUAAAGUUGCCACAAACGCAAAGAAACUAUAUGCCAUGACUCUCAAAGAACACAUCAUGGUGACUCACUAAUUUACCACGAUGCUAGAAAAACACAUGGCAGAUUGUGUAUAAGUUUGCCAACCAGAAUACACACUACUUGAUACGAUGCUCAAAAAACACAUCUGUGGCAAAUUAUGUGUAAAAUUCCAUGAUGGAAAAUUGUAUAUAAAGUUGCAAUAUGCAUACAAACUACCUGCCAUGAAGGUCAAAAAACACCUAAUGACAACACAAAAAGAUGAUGGCAAAAAUUAGAAAAUUAUUGUGGUGUUUUGCGUGGCAACUUUAGAAUUUUUUUUUGUUCCAAAGAUGACAAAUUCAAAAAUUAUGUGCUAUCUUAAGAUGGCAAAUUCAGCCCGCAAAAAAACAUGGCAAAUUCAUAAAAAAGAUUGAUAUUUAGGGAAAUAGGUUAGUCCCAGAUCACAGUCAAUCCACCAUGACCCACCGCGUCGUAGGCCUCCGCCUAUCGGGCUAGCUGUGUUUUAAACUUGGUUAGCCUCCCGAUAAAACUAGAUCAUGUUUUCACACGGUUUGAUGCGGAGGAGAUCCUUAAGAUGCCUUUGUGCACGAGGAUAGUAUUGGAUUUCUGGGCUUGAUUGGCAUGAGGAAAGCUGGGGCAUUUUCAUAGUUCGGUCGGCAUACCGAAUGAUCAUGCGCACAAAACUUAGCAGAGGAAGUUGGAUUGAAGACGAGGCAGGAACUUCGGUCUCCCAGUCAGAAAGCAAUUAGUGGACAUCUAUAUGGCACAUCAAGGUUCCCUCAAAACUGCGAGUUUUUGCAUGGAGCCUGGCAAGACAAUCUAUACCCUGCGGGGUUCUGCUAAAUCACCGGAAUAUGGCAACAACCUAGACUUGUAUGUUGUGCGGGGCUCGUGAUACUUGGAGGCAUGCCCUACUCUCUUGUCCGAUGGCAGGGAGCGUGUGGGCGCUAGCUCCUGAUCAUAUAGUCGAGACCAUGAGUGGCCACACCGUGGAAAGUGCAAAGGAUUGGUUGUUUGCCCUACAUGAAAUACUAGCCACUGAUGAUUUUUUCCGAUUAGUGGUAUCACUAUGGGCGAUCUGGGGAGCAAGGAGAAAGGUCAUUCAUGAAGAUAUAUUCAGCCACCACAUACAGUACAACAUUUUAUCAAUUCUUACUUAUUAGAGUUACAGGUGAUCAAUGCGAGAGCUCCAGCUGCACCGGCUAGUACUAUACCGCAGCAAAUACCUCACUGGCUCCCGCCGGAGGCAGGAUUUGCUAAGCUGAAUGCGGACGCGGCGGUGUCACGUCAUGGUUUUGGGGCGAUUGGAGUGAACUGCAGGGACCAAAGAGGUGGCUACAUGGGCGCUUCUGCCAUUGUUUUCAGAUAUAUCUCAGACCCAACAACACUUGAAGCAUUGGCAGUUAGAGAAGCUAUGGAUCUAGCGGAUGAUCUCUAUAUCUAGAGAAUUCAUGUGGCAUCGGAUUGCAAGGUGGUGGUCGACGACAUUCAGAAGCGAAAUAUGGCGAGUUAUGGGGCUAUAGUUCAAGAGAUUAUAAGCCAUUCUCUUUCUUUUACUUUUUGUAAUAUCGUUCAUGAACGUAGGAGCUCAAAUAUUGAAGCUCACAAUUUAGCGAAGCAUGCACUUACCCUGGGAGGUGGCCGUCAUGUUUGGUUAGGUCAUCCAGGAGAUCUUCCAUCCGCCCCUGUAAACAUUGUGACGAAUUAAUAAAGCUUCGUGGAAUUGUCCAAAAAAGAAAACUAGAUCACACUACUUGAAUUUGUUGGAACAGAAUCCUUUCUUAUAGGGAUAUUAACGUCACCCUUGAAACUAAUCUGCAUCAAAUUUCACAGGAGAAAGUAAAAUUGGUGCUAGUCAUGAAGCACAUGCUUCCUGCUCACGGCCACAAUAAUAACUAAUAGCCUUCUUUUAGUGGAAUCUUCUUCAAAAAAUAAAAGAAAUAAUAGAACAAUGCAUCUAUCUCCGGACAACCUUCGUUAUAAAAGAUGUGUAGAAUAGCAUAGAUCCAACAUGAUACCUCUCCUGUGAAAUUUGAUCCUGUGAAAAACUAGAUCACACUACUUGAAUUUGUUGGAAAAAAUCCUUUCUUAUAGGGAUAUCACACGUCACCCUUGAAACUAAUCUGCAUCAAAUUUCAUAGGAGAAAGCAAAAUUGGUGCUAGUCAUGAAGCACAUGCUUCCUGCUCACGGCCACAAUAAUAAUUAAUAGCCUUCGUUUAGUAGAACCUUCUUCAAAAAAUAAAGGAAAUAAUAGAACAAUGCAUCUCACUAGUAGAAAACUUGGCUUCGGUCACAAGGCAAUAUUCACAUUAGUCCCGGUUCAGUCACGAACCGGGACUAAUGUGAGCAUUGGUCCCGGUUCGUGCGGCUAGGGGCCUGCCGGGCCUCGUGGGGGCAUUGGUCCCGGUUCGUCCGGACCCGUUGGUCCCGGUUGGUGGGACAAACCGGGACCAAUGGCCACGCUCCUGGCCCACCACCCUUUAGUCCCGGUUCCUACCACAAACCGUGACUAAAGGGAUGGUCCUAGUUGCGGCCAGUGUUUAGUCCCACCUCGCCAACCGAAGGGCGCUCACACCAGUUUAUAAGCCCGUCCCUCUAUGCCUUGUUGAGCUUCUCUUAAAGUGAAAAUAGAUGCCCUUAUACAGAGAAUUUCACCUAAAUUCAUAAUAAAUUUCAUAGAAAUUUACUAUGAAUUUAGGUUUAAUUUUCUCUAUAAGCGCAUCUAUGUUCAUUUUUUAUAUUUAUAAAAUAAAUAAACCUUAAUAAAAUAAAUAAAACUAAACAAACCUUAAUAAAAUAAAAUAAAAUAAACUAUAGUAACUACAAUAAAUAAACCUUAAUAAAUUAAGUAAAAUAGCAGCAGUAAAAUAAAUAAAAAUAGCAGCAGUAAAAUAAAUAAAAAUAAAAUAAUUAAAGUAAAAUACAUAAGUAAUUAGAAAUAAAAUAAAUAAGUUUUUUGUUGUAAGUAGAAACAAAACAAAACAAAUAAAGCAAAAGAGAAAAAAAAUAGAGGAAAAAAAAUUAUGCCACCUACUGGGCCACCACGGCCUGAAUACGACUAGAAACCCAUCCAUGGGCCAGGAUUCAGGCCCGCAGAAGGCCCAGUAGGCCCACAGGCAAAUAGUGACAGAAUAGGCCCGUAAGCCUGCAUUUGAGAGGAGCUCGAAGUGGUCAGGGCAGCUGUGCUUAUAAACCACUGUCGAAGCCUCUCAGCUAGCGAGGUGGGACUAAACAUCCCACCGCACCGCGCCAGUUCCGGCACAAGGCCUUUGGUCCCGGUUGGUGCCACCAACCGGGACUAAAGGGGGCAUUGGCCCCGGUUCGUGGCACCAACCGGGACCAAAGGCCUUUAGUCCCGGUUGGUGCCACGAACCGGGAUCACUGAGUUCCCUAUAUAUACCCCAUCGCCACAGCAGAGCACUCCACAGUGCUCUGUUUUUUCUGGCCGGCGAGGGAAGGGCAUUUGGGUGCUCUAGCUCACCUCCUAUGCACAUGAGGUGUUCGAUGAAAUGUCUGAGCCACACUAGUUAACCUUUGUCCUCUCGAAACUCGACCUCCGAGCUCCAUUUUCCCCGAGAUUUGUCUAGGUUUAGCGGUCCGUCACGUCCCGUCCCCGUCUUCACCGCCGUGGAUCGCCCGCGCCGAUCUCGUCGUCAGCACCACCGUGGUGAGCCUCUUGUUCUUAUCUUCUUUCUGAAAGGAAAAAAAUUCUUACUUUAGAUAGUUACUUGUCUAAUUUUGUUACUUUUAUUAUCCCUUCUUAUUACAUAGUGCGAUGGUUUUGGUAUCCGCCCCCGUCGGCCCUCGUUCUGUCUAUGAUUCGGAUGUGGUAUAUAUUAUCUUUUUAUAACUAUUUGGUUCAUUUAUUGUUUAUGACAAAUAUACCGACCAACGUGACAUAGAUUUUAUUUAUCUAGGAGGUGGUUGAACCGGAAAUUCUAACCGACCCUAUUGUCGAGAGGUUAAAUUUAGUUGAAGAAGAAAAC